CUUCAUACCCUUCCUCUUCCUGAUGUCAGUCACAAGCGUUGAAGCCUGCGAUCCUGCCUCCAAUGGGUCAGACGACAUCAUCUCCCAAUGAUCAAACACACACUGAGGGAAGGCCUGUCCUGAGGUUGCUGCUCUAAGCUGACUUGAGAAUCCAAAUGACUCGACAACUGGCAGGUACGCCUUGAUGUUGUAAAGCGGUGUUCCUGGCCUCUGCAUCUCCUCAAAGACGUGUCCACGCUUCUGAUUCAGCACGCUGUAGAUUCCUCCAAGAGCUCCCUCUGGUGCUUGGAUCUCAACCAUGUAAACCGGUUCCAAAAGCCUGGGCUUGGCAGUGAUCUGAGAGGCGUAGAUAACCCUCCUCGCUGUCGGGAUAACCUGACCACCACCUCUGUGGAUAGCAUCAGAGUGGAGCACCACAUCGCAAACCUCAAAACAGAUUCCUCUCAUGUUCUCAUCACAAAGAGGACCUUCCUUGGAAGCCCACUGGAACCCAGCAACAACAGAAUCCUUGAUCUCAUUCAGGUAUUGCACUCCCUUACACAUGUCAACAACCAUGUUGGGCCCUGUGGUUUCAGGUCCAAACGCCCAUAUCUUCUUUGCGAGAUCCUUGUCCCAGCCAAACUCCUCAGCCAAGAUCUUGGAACGUAUCUUGGGAUCAUCUCUUGGACCAAUACGGCCUUCAUCAAUCGCCUCCGCAAGACCAUCCUCCAAGGGCCUAGCCUCCAUGUACAGACGGUUGUGCUUGUUCGGGGACUUGCUCAUCACAGUACGCACAGAUCGCUCCAAAACAGUCUCACGGAAUGAGACGACAGGGUCUGACUUGACAAUCUCAGCACCACCCAUGAAAUCAUCCUGAAGAUCCUUCAAGCAAAUCUCAAGAUGCAGUUCUCCAGCACCAGCAACAAUGUGCUCGCCUGACUCCUCCAUUGUGCACACAACCAUAGGGUCAGACUUGGCCAGCCUCUUAAGUCCCUCAACAAGCUUGGGAAGAUCAGAAGCGACCUUGCACUGAACAGCAACACGUACAACAGGGGACACAGAGAACUUCAUCGCACGGAUAGGAUGAGCAUCAACUUCUUUCUCAUUCGUCAGCGUAGCAUUCUUAGUGAUGAACUGAUCAAGACCAACCAUAGCAACGGUGUUACCACAGGGAACAUCCUCAACAGUCUCUUGCCUCUUGCCCAUCCAGAUGACAGUCCUCUGAACACUCUUGACAUAAAGAUCUUUCUUCUCACCAGGAACAAAGUUGGGACCCAUGAUCCUGACCUUCAUACCGGUAGACACCUUUCCAGAGAAGACACGCCCAAAAGCAAAGAAUCUUCCCUUGUCUGAAGCGGGAAUCAUCUUAGAAACAUAGAGCAUGAGCGGACCAUUAGGAUCACAGUUUCUGAUGGCAGUGGCAUACUGAUCAUCGAGAGGACCUUCAUACAGGUUCUCAACACGGUACCUCUGGGCAGUGUGGGGAGAUGGAAGGUGAAAGAUCAUCAUCUCAAGCAAUGCAGUACUCGCAGGGAGCCAAGUCUGCAUAACACGCUUCAUCAAAGGUUUACCCAUAAGGUCCUUCUCAUCAGACUUCAUCUGGACACCAAGCUUCUGCAACAUAGGCCACAACUUAUCCUUCUGGUCGUUCAUGCAAGUGGCGAUGAUCUGCUUGAUGGGUUCAUAACAGAACUGCACAAACCCACGCUUGCAGGUAGCGGACCCAGUGUUCUUGCUGCUCCAUUUCCUGGUGGCGGGGUCAAAGAAGUUCUCACCCCACAGCCUCUCCAUCAUCUUAGUCUCGUCAACACCGAACUUGGAAGCAUACAUCUUGGCAAAGUUGGUAAGGGUGAAAGCCCAUCCGUGGAGACCAGCAGAGAAGGCGACAGUUCCCUUCUCAGGGUAAACCUGAACAUCACCAAGGAGAGGAUCCUCGUACGUUGCCAUGAUGACAUUAGCAUUCUCAAUAACCCUCUGGAAAGUCUGGUAAGCCUCCUCACCAUCAACCUGAAGCUCAAGGAAACACCUGUCCAUCUUGUUCACAGUCAGAACGGGCCUAAUCCUCUCCCCAAGAGCCUGACGUAGCACAGUCUCGGUCUGAACACACACACCCUCGAUACAAUCGACCACCACAAGCGCACCAUCGGUAAUACGGAGCGCAGCAGUGACCUCAGAGGAGAAGUCAACGUGGCCAGGAGAGUCGAUGAGAUUGAUAAGGUACUCGUUUCCAUCUCUGGCACCAGUGAAGCUCUUCAAGGAAGCAUCAGUCAUCUCGUAGUAGAGAGAGAUACCCGUGGACUUGAUAGUGAUACCACGUUCAGCCUCAUCAGCACGGGUAUCAGUCAUACGGACAUCACCAGCAACUUCUUGAGCAAUGAUACCAGCAGCAGCAACCAAGGAGUCAGUGAGUGUGGAUUUACCUGUCAAUCACAAGAUAUAUAAAAGCAUAAGAGACAAUAGAACAGAGUAGUAGGAAACUAAUUAAGUCUGAAAAUUAAAAAAAGACAGUACCAUGGUCGACAUGGGCAAUAACGGACAUGUUACGGAUGUUGUGUUUGUAAUCCAUAAUCCUCCGAAGCUCAUCGGAUGUGAACUUCACCUACAAGUUCAUUAAAAUAAACAAAUAUUUAAGCUUAGAAUCAACAAAAAUAACAACAACAACAAGGCAAAGUAAAAGAUAGUAUAAAAAAGUUAUAAGGCUUUACCAUUUUGACUAACUCUUAUUCUUCACCUACAAUAUCUCUGCAACCACAGAAACAAUAAUAAGAAUUAAUCAACUGAAAUGAAACGAUUUAAAAAAAAAAAUUAACACCAAAAUAAAAUCUCAUAAUCUUCUGAACUUGAAGCUUUUCAACACAGAAAAAUAGAAGAACAGCUCACAAUCAAAUGGUAUUUAUACAUUUCUACGAACAGAUCUAAAGAGACGAGACAGAACGAUAACCAAAAAUGAAAUUAACAACUAAGAGUCAAGGGGGAUUGGUUAAUCUAAACAUCGAAAGCUAAAACUAUGGAGAUUCAAUACGAAAACUAAGCAUCAACAAUCGGAGAUCGUAACAAGGAGGAGACGGACUAACAUUGGAGGGGAAGGAGAGAGAGAGACGAGCUUGAGAGAGCAGAGAUUGAGUGGAGGCGUUCGAUAUAUUCCCUUAUCUCUUCUAGGGUUUUCUCUCUGUUCUUUCGUGGGCCUCUUCGGCCCGAUACAAUAUUGGCCCAAUAGUGGCUAAUAUUUAAUAUUUUGGCCCAAUAUAGUUCGUGUAAGAUUUUGCUUUGAAGUUUUAUGGAAUUUGUUUUAGUUAUAAUGAGCAGUAUUACAAGUGAACAUAAUUUUGUACUAUUAUUUAAACUAAGACUUUAUGAUAGAUUUAUUAUAAAUAAACGGUUUGGAGGAAUCAAUGACGAAAUAUUAACUAUGUUUCCGGUAAUAUUCUAAACAAUAUUUGACAUAACAAUAUUAUUUUCUUUUAUUAUUAUUAUCUUUUAGACAUUAUAAUAUCGAUAUGUUGUGUAUCUGAUUCUGUAUAUGGAAUUUUAAAACCAUCCGAAUAUGUAAAGGCUUUUAAAUUACGGUUUAUCAUAUUCAAGCUUUACGCUAUUCACAACAUUCCAGUGGAAUCAAACAAACAAAAGAUUAACAAUUUAUCUUAUUAUUAAAAAAAAAUCUCCCAAAUGUAGUUUCCAAUUUACUGCUUUGCUCCACGCAUUGACGCUUCAUUUGUUCAACAACUUCAAAACCAGACUGGCAAACCCCAAAGCAACUUAUACAGAACAAUAUAAUCUCCAUUAACUUGGAGAACCGUGACAUCAUUAUUACAUACAAAAGGUUGAUCAUCAUCAGUCACUAGGAAGACUUAAACAUCAGUCGUGACUGCGAAUUAACCCUUGCGGCCUGAUUUCUCUCCUACAAGCUUCGUCUGGAUUGAAAUCAAAAGAAAAAUGGUGUAAUCAGAAAAAAUUAAAUACAAUUAUUCACAGGACGUGGGUGAAUAAGAUGCAACAGAAAAUCCAAAACCUUGUAGUUAUUUUUUCUUGACAUCAAAUCCCAUAGGUGCUGAUGCGGCCUCUAUUUUUGUGACUAUCUCAUUAGCCGGACAUUUUGAAGUAAACUGAGUUUUCCGUUUGACAAGCCCCUGAAAUUAAGCACUGAUUAUCGAAGGGAAAUAAAAAUUGUGAAAUUGGUAUUAUGAUGAACUACUUAUACCACUACUUAAAUUUUGCCUUACUUAGCAGUUUAAAGUACUUUUUGUGGAUUACGAUCCACAUUAAUCAAAUCUUAUCAUUUCAAGCAUUUUAAAUAUAUCAUAUAAUCUAAAAAAUUAUUUUAUUCUGAUUAUUUUUGAAUAAUCACAAAUAAUAAAUAGUAAAAAUUUGAUGUUAUUGGAAGAAUAUCAAGAACCACUGGAACCUUAGCAAUUAAUCUAAAUUUGUAAUGUUGGUAUACAUUCAAAACAUGGUUGAUUGUUUCUUUUGCUGCACACCUUACAUAUUAUGUAUAACACUUAUUCUCAUUAGAUUUGAUAUAACUGUAUUACAAUCCAACAUUAUUUGUCCAAUAAUCUGUCAUCAUUUUGGUGGCACUUGAAUUUCCAAAGAGUGUGGCUGCAAAUAUAUGCUUGUUUUAAUAACCCAAGCGAUUUUACAAUGUAAUGUCAUAUUUAGAAAUUUUUGUUUUUUAUGAGAAAAAAUGUGCUUCUUGCUACGAUAAUACAGUUUUGUUUUGGCUAAUCCGAAUCUUUAUUUAACUGAUCAACUACACUAUGGAGAAGCAGAUUAAUGAUAAUAAGUUUGAAAAGGGGUUGGUCGAACCAGUUUUGUCAUUCAUUAUCUUCGACGGUGAUUGGUAUCUCUCUCAAUAACGCUAUCUUACAUUUUCUCUUUGCACCAAAACAGGAUGCGUCUUUGAUUAGAACCGCAUUCAUCAUACAAUUUCAAGAUUAUACGAUGACAUUUGAAAAACAUAAAACGACCAAGAGUUAAUUAUUCUGAGCCUAUAGUUGCAAGAUAGGAUAUAUUAUGAUGAAUGCUCUUCGACAUAUAGAUGAGAUAAGCAAUGCCAUAAAGAAAAAGAGAUUUUCUGGCUUAUAAAAUACAAAAAUACAAAAACAACUCGAGGGAUCCUUUAAAAAAAAGAAAGACGGUCUCUGUGUUAUAAGUUUUUAGUAGAGUUUUAACUUCAACACCGCAAUAAGGGAAUCAAAAUAUCUGACCUAACAAAACCUCAUCUUCCCUACACCUGCAGAGCAUCAACCUAUGGUUAUGCCUUGGACACUAGCAUCUUAUUGCUUGCAAUGCAUAACAGCAUAUAACAACGUUCCAGUGAUAACAGGAUAACAAGAGUGCAAAGAGUGAACACAUAAGAAGUUUUCUCAACUUCAAGAGUGCAAAGAGUAAACACAUAAGGAUGUGGCAACACAGAUAAAGUCAUAACACCAAAACAGAGUAAACAAAAAUACGGUAGAUAUAACAACGUUCCAAUGAAAACAGGAUAACAAGAGUGCAAAAAAGAGUAAACACAAAGAUAAACCAGUUUUCAACUAAAAAAGUAAAACAUUCAAGAGGAUUGUGGCCACAGAUAAAGUGAUAUCAUAACACCAAAACAGAGCUAACAGUAAACAAAAUACGGUAGAGAUGGAGAGAAAAAGGUGACCAUAGUGAGUCUUGUUGGCUGCUGCUUAUAGCUUGUCUUCGAAGUCAGACAAGGGAGUCAUCUGUUCCUUCAUACCCUUCCUCUUCCUGAUGUCAGUCACAAGCGUUGAAGCCUGCGAUCCUGCCUCCAAUGGGUCAGACGACAUCAUCUCCCAAUGAUCAAACACACACUGAGGGAAGGCCUGUCCUGAGGUUGCUGCUCUAAGCUGACUUGAGAAUCCAAAUGACUCAACAACUGGCAGGUACGCCUUGAUGUUGUACAGCGGUGUUCCUGGCCUCUGCAUCUCCUCAAAGACGUGUCCACGCUUCUGAUUCAGCACGCUGUAGAUUCCACCAAGAGCUCCCUCUGGUGCUUGGAUCUCCACCAUGUAAACCGGUUCCAACAAUCUGGGCUUGGCAGUGAGCUGCGAGGCGUAGAUAACUCUCCUCGCUGUUGGGAUAACCUGACCACCACCUCUGUGGAUAGCAUCGGAGUGGAGCACAACAUCGCAGACCUCAAAGCAGAUUCCUCUCAUAUUCUCAUCACAAAGAGGACCUUCCUUGGAAGCCCACUGGAACCCAGCAACAACAGAAUCCUUGAUCUCAUUCAGGUAUUGAACUCCCUUACACAUGUCAACAACCAUGUUGGGCCCUGUGGUUUCAGGUCCAAACGCCCAUAUCUUCUUCGCAAGAUCCUUGUCCCAACCAAACUCCUCAGCCAAGAUCUUGGAACGUAUCUUGGGAUCAUCUCUUGGACCAAUACGGCCUUCAUCUAUUGCCUCCGCAAGACCAUCCUCCAAGGGCCUAGCCUCCAUGUACAGACGGUUGUGCUUGUUUGGGGACUUGCUCAUCACAGUACGCACAGAUCGCUCCAAAACAGUCUCACGGAAUGAGACGACAGGGUCUGACUUGACAAUCUCAGCACCACCCAUGAAAUCAUCCUGAAGAUCCUUCAAGCAAAUCUCAAGAUGCAGUUCUCCGGCACCAGCAACAAUGUGCUCACCUGACUCCUCCAUCGUGCACACAACCAUAGGGUCAGACUUGGCCAGCCUCUUAAGUCCCUCAACAAGCUUGGGAAGAUCAGAAGCGACCUUGCACUGAACAGCAACACGUACAACAGGGGACACAGAGAACUUCAUUGCACGGAUAGGAUGAGCAUCAACUUCUUUCUCAUUCGUCAGCGUAGCAUUCUUAGUGAUGAACUGAUCAAGACCAACCAUAGCAACGGUGUUACCACAGGGAACAUCCUCAACAGUCUCUUGCCUCUUGCCCAUCCAGAUGACAGUCCUCUGAACACUCUUGACAUAAAGAUCUUUCUUCUCACCAGGAACAAAGUUGGGACCCAUGAUCCUGACCUUCAUACCGGUAGACACCUUUCCAGAGAAGACACGUCCAAAAGCAAAGAAUCUUCCCUUGUCUGAAGCGGGAAUCAUCUUAGAAACAUAGAGCAUGAGCGGACCAUUAGGAUCACAGUUUCUGAUGGCAGUGGCAUACUGAUCAUCGAGAGGACCUUCAUAUAAAUUCUCAACACGGUACCUCUGUGCAGUGUGGGGGGAUGGAAGGUGAAAGAUCAUCAUCUCAAGCAAUGCAGUGCUGGCAGGGAGCCAAGUCUGCAUGACACGCUUCAUCAAAGGUUUACCCAUAAGCUCCUUCUCAUCAGACUUCAUCUGGACACCAAGCUUCUGCAACAUAGGCCACAACUUAUCCUUCUGGUCGUUCAUGCAAGUGGCGAUGAUCUGCUUGAUGGGUUCAUAACAGAACUGCACAAACCCACGCUUGCAGGUAGCGGACCCAGUGUUCUUGCUGCUCCAUUUCCUGGUGGCAGGGUCAAAGAAGUUCUCACCCCACAGCCUCUCCAUCAUCUUAGUCUCGUCAACACCGAACUUGGAAGCAUACAUCUUGGCAAAGUUGGUCAGGGUGAAAGCCCAUCCGUGGAGACCAGCAGAGAAGGCAACAGUUCCCUUCUCAGGGUAAACCUGAACAUCACCAAGGAGAGGAUCCUCGUACGUUGCCAUGAUGACAUUGGCAUUCUCAAUGACCCUCUGGAAAGUCUGGUAAGCCUCCUCACCAUCAACCUGAAGCUCAAGGAAACACCUGUCCAUCUUGUUCACAGUAAGCACGGGCCUAAUCCUCUCACCAAGGGCCUGACGUAGCACAGUCUCGGUCUGAACACAGACACCCUCGAUACAGUCGACCACCACAAGGGCACCAUCGGUGAUACGGAGAGCAGCAGUGACCUCAGAGGAAAAGUCAACGUGGCCAGGAGAGUCGAUGAGGUUGAUAAGGUACUCGUUACCAUCUCUAGCACCAGUGAAGCUCUUCAAGGAAGCAUCAGUCAUCUCGUAGUAGAGAGAGAUACCCGUGGACUUGAUAGUGAUACCACGUUCAGCCUCAUCAGCACGAGUAUCAGUCAUACGGACAUCUCCAGCAACUUCUUGGGCAAUGAUACCCGCAGCAGCAACCAAGGAGUCAGUGAGGGUGGAUUUACCUGUACACCACAACAUACAUAAAAGCAGCAUAAGAGACAAGAGAACAGUGUAGUAGUAAACUAAUUAAGUCCGAAAAAAUAAAAAGACAGUACCAUGGUCGACAUGGGCAAUAACGGACAUGUUACGGAUGUUGUGUUUGUAAUCCAUAAUCCUACGAAGCUCAUCGGCCGUAAACUUCACCUACAAGUUCAUUAAAAAAAAGAAAAGAAAAAAAGAGUAUUUAAGCUUAGAAUUAACAACAACAAGGCAAAGUAAAGAUAAAACAAAAGGCUUACCAUUUUGACUAACUCUUAUUUCUUCACCUACAAUAUCUCUGCAACCACAGAAACAAUAAUAAGAAUUAAUCAACUGAAAUGAAACGAUUCAAAAACAUUUUAAUACAAAAAUAAAAUCUCAUAAUCGUCUGAACUUGAGCUAACAGAUAAAUGUAUAGCGAGAUAAUUUGUCUUCUAUCGUAUUUGGAUCCAAACUUUCAAUCAAGUAAAGAUUAGAAGAACACAGCUCACAGUCAAAUGGUAUUUAUACAAGCCAAUUUGAUUCGUAUCUGAGUUUCAUCAUUAAGCGUUUAUACGAUCAGAUCUAAAGAAACGAGACAGGUCCAUUAACAAAAUCAUAAAAAUAACAACAUAGAAACGAUAGAGAAACAGUAGUGAUCAUCUGAACACCAACAGCUAAAACUGUGCAGAUUCAAUACAAAAAAUGAAGCUAUUAACAAUCGGAGAAAACAAUCAUCGUAGCAGAGAAACGGACUAACCUUGGAGGGGAAGGAGGGAGAGAGAGGGAAGAGCUUGAGAGGGAGGAGCUUGAGAGGAGGUGUUUGAUAUAUGCUUAAUCUCUUCUAGGGUUUUCCGCUUUUUUUCGCGGCCCUUUGUGGCCCACUAGCUUAAUAUUUUGGCCCAAUAGUUCGUUUAAGAUUUGGUUUGUAUUUUUUUUUAAGUUUUGUAUGUAACUUUUUUUUUAAUGUAAAAUAAGCAGUAUUAAAAGUUUACACUAUAAUUUAAAAUUUUAAACUAAAGAGUUUAGCUCAGAUUUUAUUAUAAAUAAACGGUUUGGAGGAAUCAAUAACAAGGUAUUAUCUAAGUUUCAUGUAAUAUUCUGAAUACAAUUUGACAUAAUAUUUAUUUGGUGUAUCUGUUGAUGCUGGACUAAGGGCGAAGCCAGUAAGAGGAUACAGGUGCACGUGCCCCCACAACUUUUUUACAAAAUUAGUGUAUUUCUUCACUAAUUUUAUAUGUAUCAAUUGAAAUUUAUAGUUUUACACGUUGGUGCACCCAGUCAUUAUCACUUCUGGAUUCGCUACUGAACACAAUUAUGUACUUUGAUGUAAAUUCUUAAAAACAUCCAAAUACGUAAAGCUUUUAAAUUUACAGUUUAUCAGAUUCAAGCUAUACACGUUAUUCACAACAUUCCAGUGGAAUCAAACAAAGAUUAACAAUUAUUAUCACUUUUUUUUUUAACAAAUUCCCCCAAUGUAGUUUCCAAUUUGCUCCUUUGCUCCAUUUCAUGAUGGUUCCUUUUGUAUAACUUCAAAACCACACUCACAAUCCCCACAAAGCAAUUUAUACAGAACAAUAUCUAAAUAAUAUUAGAAGCAUACGUAGACAAUUUGGCCGGAUAUCAAGAAGCAACCACCGCACCACCUGAAACUAAAAGAAACAAAACAAGAUUUGUGUUGUUCUGUCUCUUCAUUACUUUCUAGACUAUUUUUAUCUAACAGAUUCUUCAAAGAAAAAUGUUGUCUGUACCUUGGGUUCCUUCCUCUUUCUCUUCGUCGAUUGUUUUCCAAACGAUGUCCUUAAGACCCGUGGUGAGGUUCUUGUAAAACUAAAAUAGAGACCAAGAAAAAAAGGAUUGACCAACUUGUUUCAGAACCUAUAUAUCCACAAGACUAGAGCUUGCAUGCAUGCAUUACCUUGUGGAAUUCCAAGGUGUCACCCCCUGAUUUCCUCAUUUCAACCAUAUAUAGCGAUGGAGCAACUUGAAAAACCUGAACAGUAUAUAUAUAUCUCCAUUAACUUAAGAGAUUAGGGCCUCAUCAUCACACAAAAAGGGUGUGAUCAUCAGUCAGUCACUAAGAAGACUAACCUCAGCCGUGACUGCUAAUUGACCCUUGCGGCCUGAUUUCUCUCCUACAAGCUUUACCUGGAUGAAAUCAAGAAAAUGGUGGUAAUCAGAAGAAUUGAAUACAAGACUUGAGUGAAUGUGAUGCAACAGAAAAUCCAAAAACCUUGUAGUUAUUUUUCUUGACAUCAAAUCCCAUAGGUGCUGCUGCGGCCUCUAUUUUUGUGACUAUCUCAUUAGCCGGACAUUUUGAAGUAAACUGAGUUUUCCGUUUAACAAGCCCCUGAAAAUUUAAACAUGCUUAUCUCUAAGAACGUCUACUUCCCACUAACAAAAAAAAAUUACAAAAUACAGGAUUCUCAAAAACAGAAUUGGUUACUAAACUUUUGGCAAAAGCUACUUCUCAUUUAGUAUCCCAAAAAAGGAAAGCGGUACCAUUUGCUUUUCGAAAAGUGAACCGAGAUUGAGACCUUUGGAUGUUGAGAUGAGCUCAAAAGCAUUCAUAGUUACUGGUGUUCUAAGUCCUUCUUCUCGCCUCUCCACAACAAGGUUUUGGGACUCCUAUAUUACCCAACAAAAACAAUCUAAGCACAAUAUAUCCAAUACAAAGUUCAUUAAAAUAAUCGACUUACCGAAUAAAAAGAAAUAAAAGUCUUACCCCUGAUUCAUCAAAAAUUGCAUCAACAUCAUCAAGGCUGACAUUUGCAUUUUCAUAUUUGGGUGCUUUAUACCCUUUAUUAAACCACUCGUUUUCAAUGACUUCAGCAAAUGUAAUCCUCUGUCCAUUAUAAAAAAAAGACUUCAGACCUACUCAGUCCAGUAGAAGCUCUUGCCUCUUCAAACAGCAUAAAAAAGCAAAGGAAUCCUCUUCAGCUAUAAAAGAGUAAGAAUAUGUAUACCGUUGCUGGAUUCGGAUCCAGAAUUCUUUUGAUUAGCUUCUUGGCACUUGCAGAGAACCAGUGAGGGCAGGUAAACUCGGCUUUGAAUAUCUGUAAUCAAGAAGACAUAAGAAUCAGGUGGCAUACAUAGAUAGAACCUUUUCCACAUAGCAUGCGGAAUGAAGCAUAUAACACCUUUUUAUAUAAUGAGGCCAAGUUAGAAUCUUCGAAAGGCAAAUAUCCAGCCAUUAAGACAAAGAGAAUCACACCACAAGACCACAAAUCAGCUUUGGCUCCAUCGUAACCUUUGUUAUUGAUUACCUAUUAGAGGCAAGAAUAGAUUGCUACUGAGACCAGAAAAGAAUAAGCUCAAGCUAGCUUGACAGUAGAAGUAAAAUCAUACCUCUGGGGCAACAUAAUUGGGUGUUUUACAUGUUGUGUGAAGUAAACCAUCCUCCUAAAAGAAGAAGAAGGGUCACAAAAUUAAUUAGUUUUGAUGAUUUUCUCCUUAGAUGCCAAAGUAUGUGUAGUAUCACGCUAUGACAUUUUCAUCAAAAUAAUAUAACAAGAAGAAAUCAAUAAGUGGAAAGCUCACUCACUCGGACUUGCUGAGGUAGAGCACUCAAUCCAAAAUCAGAAACUUUCAGAGUCCCAUUUGCAUCCAAAAGCAAAUUCUCAGGCUGCAACCAUGAGGUGGAAGUAGAUUAAACACAUUGAACCACAACUCUGCCAACCGAUUCAUUCAUUAUACAAAGCCACAAAAUAAGAUUCCCAAAACCUUAAGGUCUCUAUGAUAAACUCCUCUGCUAUGGCAAUAGUCAACAGCGUUAAUAAGCUGGUGGAAGUAGUUCCUCGCCCCAUCUUCCUUCAACCUCCCCUUGCUUGCCUAGAUAACAUAGAAUCAAGUCCUUAUAAUUCUUCAAAACCAUCUUCUAUGAUGAUAAAAACUGAGAAAAAGCUUACAAUUUUGUCGAAGAGCUCUCCACCAGUAACGAAUUCCAAAACAAAAUAGAUCUUAGUUUUGCUGGCCAUCACCUGAAAAAAAAAAUACUAUUACCAGUAAAACCUCUAUAAAUUAAUAAUAUUGAAACUACACCAAAACUAUAAUUUUUUUUAUUAAUUUAUCGAUAUACUAAUUGAACCAAAAACUCAAUUUCAGACUAUAAAAUUAUAUUAUUUUAUAGAGAUUUUUAGUGUAUAUUAAUUUAUACUGUAUAUGUAAAUUGGCCACGGACUACUUAUGUUCCCAUAAACUUAAAAAAAAACUCAAGAUAUGUGUAUGAAUCUAGAAGAACAAAGCUAAUAGAUUCUAAGCAUGCAAGCAAGUUAGAUCAAAACCUCAAAGCUUAUAGAUUUCUAAACAUUGAAGCAAGGAGUAAAACAAGAAGGGAAAAUAUUUAGAUUAAGAACCUCAAGCAUACGGAUCACAUUGGGGUGCUUGAUGAGUUUCAUCGUCGAGAUCUCACGUUUGAUCUAACAUUAAACAACAAAACCCCAAACCGAAAGUUAAAACCUUUAUUACAUCAAAAGAAAACAUCAAGCGUGAUAUAUACCUGAGCGAUCAUUUUGUUUCCCAUAACUUUCUCUUUAUCAAUAACUAGAGGUUGGUCCGCCCUACGGGCGGGUAAGCUUACAAUAAAAAAUUUAUAAGAUUGGGCAAAAAAUCCAAACCUAAAAACCCAAACCGAACCCGAUUUGAAAAAAUACUAUCGAAUCUGAACCGAAAUUGAUUAAAUAUCCGAAUGAGUUCAAAAUUUUGGUAUUUAAAGAACUGAAACCGAACCCGAUCCGAACCAAAAUAUUUUGAAUAACCGAAUAUAUCCGAAAUAGAUUUAUAUACCUGAUAAUGUUACUUAUUUUUAGAUUUAAUAUUUACUAAAAACAUCUAAAAUAUAUAAAAUAUUUUUAAAAUUUCUCAAAAUACUUAAAAAUAUAUAGAAAUAAUCAAAAACAAAUGUUUGAAAUAGCUAAAAUAUACUUAAAUCACCAAAAAAUAUUUGAAAUAUCUAUUGAUGUCUUAUCCAAAUAUUCAAAACAAACUAAUUUAUAAGUUCAUUUUAUGUAUUUUGACAUAUGUUAUUCAAAUUUAUAUGUAAUAUAUCAUUUUUUUUAUAAAUUUUGAGAAAUUUUAAGCAUAUAAUAAAUUUUAAAAGUUUUAAAAUAAUUUAAAUGGGUUAUCCGAACCCGAAAAGAUCCAAACCGAACCCGAACUGAAAUUUAGAAAUACCCGAAUGGGGCUGAAAUUUUUGAACCCGGAAACCCGAAAGCCGAAUAGACCCAAACUGAAUCCGAAUGUGUACCCGAACACCCACCCCUAUAAUUGUUUAUAUUAAAAUGUAUUUUAAUUUUAUAAAACAUUUAAAUUUAAUUUAAAUUGAAUAUAAUAAGUAUAAUCUGUUUUUUUUAAAUCAUAUUGUAAAUUUUAUUUGUUAACAUUUAAUUUGAACAAUUGUUAUAAUUUGUUUUAUAAGAUCAUACCUUAUUUGUUAUUUGCGUUUCUAAAAAAUUGUAAGUUGGUAGUGCAGGUUUACAUUUCGAAUUGAUAGGUGUGCACACAGUUUGGUCCAAUUCAAAGAGAAACUCCAAAGAUUAGAAGCAAAGAACAUUUACACGAUCUGUUGAGUGGGGUUAAAGAGACACUUUUGUUUUGCACACAUGAGUGAAUUAAUGAAGUAAAAGAUUGAAAAUAACAAAGGAAAAUAUUGAAAAUUUAAAAUGAAUAAACCUCUUCAAGCUUCGCUCAACAAUUCACAUCCCUAAUUGUAAAUAUAACAAAAUCAUAAAAAAUAUCAAUUACAUAAUUAAAUGGACGAAACAAUUAGCAAUAUAUUAGCAGCCCAAAAAAGAGGCACACCACAAAGCAAGAUGAUUAAAAUAAUCCCUUCACUCCAAACAUCGAUCUCAUUUCCGUAACUUUGUAUUGAUACUUUAGGAUCAUCGUUGCUCUUCCUAUUGUAUUCUUGUAAACUAUCUGUAAGAAUAAUCAGAAGACUAUCAACUAAAAUGGCAUAACUUAUUUGACAAUGUAACAUUUUAUCAAGCAAACAAUUAUGGACACUAAAACUCACAGAGCCACUAUGUACUAAAUGAGAUCAGAUUCAUAAGUACACUAUGAGCCUCCAACAAUCUGUUAAAGUUGCUACAACAUAACAGUUUUCUGCAUUUCUGUAUAUUCAAAUGAUUUUGGAUCAACUUACAAAGCAUUGUAUGCAUUGAGCUACACGUUAGUGUUGUGAAGCAGCCAUGGAGUUGAUAGGUGGAUAAUUGCAGGUCUUAGUAGCAACUUCUUGCCCACUUAAUUUUCUUCUUCCCAUCAAUGUCAUUAGCUUGUGAACUUCCAUCAGCAGCAGACCCUGGUUGUACCUAUAGCAGAGGCACAUGCUACACAUGACUUAGAAAAUUGGAAGUCAAAGUACUUAGUUAGAUUGAUUGAUAUACCUUGUCCUGGUGCGUAAUAUUCUCCCAGACAAUGAGCUGUUGUUUUAGUGUUGCAGAAAUUUGGAUCUUUAGUGGCUUCUCUGCAUGGUAUCCUUCUAUAGAUCACAAAAGCAGAAUGUAUAAAAAGGUAAAAACGUGCACCACAACUAAUAAACACGAUGAGAAUCAACCACGGGUCUAUGUUUUUACAGUGCUGACCUCAUUGUCUGACUCGUUCUUUCACCUUCUUCCCUUUCGUAGCUGCAUCAUUCAAAUUUCAAAUCAUUUACUUGGAAGCUGGAAGGAAAAUUUGACUUAGUUUGUAGCAUUAUGGUAAUAUAGAAAAAUUACAUAGUUAUAUAUUAUAUCUAAAGGCUCUCUUCAACGCAAGGUCAGAGAAUCAAAACAUACAAAUGAAAACCAAUUCGCUGGAGAUAAAAGAGUGUAAGAAAGUCAGCAAAUGCAUUGUCAGUGAUCAACGAUAUUUUGUGGAUGUAAUGAAAUAUUAAAAGAAACCUAUGAGGAAGCCGAUCCAUGGAACUGAUUCCAUCAUCUUCUGAAUGCUUUCUAGCGGCAAGCAAGUGAGAAUCCUUCAAAGACGCAUAUGUUUGUCAUCCAUCUCUGGUCUCUUUUUUUUUCAGAAUGUAAAUAUGGUAUCUGACGAUGCUUCUUCCAUUUACAUUUGUCUUGACUGAGAAAUCAUUUUGGGCAGAAGCCUCUGGUUUUUCAACUCCUGCAGGGAGAGAAGACAAAAACAGUUAAAGGAAUGUAGACUCUACUCCAAAUGCAGAAGCAAAUCUUGCACAUGCCAAACGCAAACAAUUAGCCAAAAUUACUUACGGUGAUCACGCCUCAUAAUCAUGAAACUAUUGGCACCAUAUCACACUAAAUAGCGGCCAAAUAAACUUAACAAAAGAUCAUGAGCCUAAAUUCUGAUCUCCUUCUUCAUUUCUUUUGAAAUCUAUUAGUCCUGAUCAGCUAACAUCACUAAAAAAAAAUGUAGUCACUUAUGUCUAAGUAAGAACUUGAUGGUAAUUUCAUGAUCAUGGAAUAAAAAUUAAAGAUUUACUGAAUUUAUAAAAGCUUGUUGCAAACAUUGAAAACAGAAGAGAGCAACCAUAAACUAAAAACUCUCACCUUGGAGACACAUCGAUCAUGAAGAGUAGCCAUGAACAGCUUACAUGAUUCCAUUUUCAUUCUGCAGCAGAGUUUGUUACAUCUAGUAAACAUCUCGAUCUGACUGAAAAUAUCAUAUAUACUUAAAAAAAAAAACUUACAACCAUAUGUUCCAAAAAUAUGAUUGAGAUAAUUGAAUCGAACAAACCUUUACGGGAAGCAAUAUGAUGUAUCGAUGAAUAUGAACAAUUUGUGUCUUGAUGGAUCCUGUGAAUAGAUAGAGCCACGAUCUUACAUUCCUGCGAACAACACAUGGCUUGGCCAAAUGAAGGUGUGAGUUUGAAAGAGAAAUCAAAAACAGAUGAUAGAGAUAUGUAUAAGGCUGUAGAUGGAAUCUAUAUGUUACCGAAGCUAAGGAACAGAGGAUGCAGAAAGGCCGAGACUCAAAGCUUUCCAAGACGAUAUGGGAUUUCGCCGGUGUUGCGGUGCUCGAGUUUGCCGGAGAAGUGGAGCUGGAAAUCGUUUCGUCGGUUAUAUUAAAGCUGCAUAUUUUGUCACCCGCGAUUAUUGUACUAUAUUAUUCGUUAGUUGAGUAAUGAAACCGAUUAAUGUAAGAGACACACCGUUGAUCCCAGCAGCACCGCCGUUGAUCUCAGCAGCACCGCCGGCGUCUACGCUUCUUGCCUCCGUGAACGUCUCCUCUCCCUUGCCGCUUCCGCCGCCGUCACAGAAGUCGAUAACAACCAUAAUCAAUCGCGUAAAUCUAACAAUCUGAUUUUCUCUCGCUCUGUUUCUCCUUACGUAGACUGCAGAAAAUCAGACGCCGGAUGAGGAGGAGGAGUAAACCGCCGGUUCAUCACCACUCCUCAGGUGGAUACCGGAUUCUCAUGCAAGGACUUCGAAUCGAACCGUUCCUCUAAACCGAGAAGCGGUAAAGCUCCGAGAAUCUCCAGUCUGUUCAGAGUUAGAUCUGACGAUUUCGAUUCCGAUACCAAGUCUCGAGUUUCCUGCUCGUCCUCGUCUCCGUCGUGGAUGGUGAUGAAAAUUGAAUCAAACAGACUAAUUAAUCUAUUGUUAGUGAUUCAAUGGGUUGAAUCAAAAGAUAAUUAUGAGUGAUGGAGGAAGGUAUGGGAGUUGAGAAGACAAUCGUCUGAAAAACGUUUUUGUUUUGAGGAGAAAAGAUGAGCCGACAGUGGAAAGAGACGCAAUUCUAUUGAGAAAGCUGAUUGGUGAUGUGGCAGAAAAAUGAUAUUUGAUUGGUUGAUUAUAAUUGAGGACGUGGACAUUGUGAGAGGAGCUCUUAUUCCCUUUUAGUAUUGUAUUGAUUUUAAUGGCUACAUUCUCUCCGUUGACUACGUUCCUAGCGAACUUGACUUUCGCGAAGGUACCUUCACCCAACGUUGUACCAAGCUCGUACUUACCCACACGUGUCCUGCUAACACUCGAACUACUACUACUGCUACUACCUGAAGAUGACCCAGACGGCCCCGAUCGCGACGGUGUUGCUCGAGAAGCCAUCUCGUAGGCGGGCGAAUAUUCAAAUCGAACGAAGAAUAUUCGAAGCCGAGAUGAGAUCAGUACGGAGUUAUGAGUAUAAAAAUUCAAGAAAAAAAACGAAGCCGAUUGAUAUUAAAAAUCGCCAGAUGGAGAGAGAGAGAGAGAGAGAGAGAGAGCUGAGAAGAGGGGAACUUUCUGAUUAGUCCGAGGAUUGGUAUUUAAUUAAGUUUAAAUUACAUUGAUUAAUUAACGUAGAAGUAUUAAAUUUAUUUCUGCUUAGGACGAGGUUUGUAUGCAUCUCUCUCACACUCUGACGUCUGCAAAAGGUACAAUGAUUUCGUAUUUAGGUUAAAUAUAUUUUUGAGUUGACAACAAAGGCUUAGAAUGUUUACAACCGUCCCGCCCCGCACCGCAGUUAACAGUAACAAAAAUCUUUACAUAUAUCAUAUAUUUAUACGUUUUUAUAACUGUGAAAACCGCACCGCAGUUGAACCGCUUGUCCUGCACCGUUCAAACCGCAGUUACCAUUCGGAGCCAAAGUAUAAAAAUGCAUAUACAAAAGUAGGUGAGGUUCAUUAAUAUGAUCAGCACGUUUUAAUUUUAGAUUGAAAUCAGUUAAUGGAGUUAUUAUGGUUUAAUAAAACGUUUAGUUGUUUUUGUGACUAAUAAAAUCUCAAAUUAUAACUUAAAAAAACAUUCAAACGUGAAAAAUUGGUCUUUCUCUGUUUAAAAGAUUUUGAGGAAUUUUAGAAAAACAAAAUACGAUAGAUUAAAUUAUUAAUUUUAAGAAGUUUAAUUAUUAAUAAGAUCCAUAACCUGCUACGCUAAUCAUGCAUUUCAACCUCAACAUUUCGUAGUUAAAUAUUGUUUUUGAUUAUCUAAUCUAUUAAAAGAGGAGUACAAAAUUAGAUUAUCCCUUAGUUUUCCACUAUAUUUACAAUGACAUGCCACUGGAGUUAUUAAUUAACCUACCUUUUAGGAUUUUUGUCUUUUCUCUUCAAUUAAUGUAUUUCCAAAUCAAAUUCUAGCUAAAAAUAAUGGCAACAAUAAUUAAUAAACCUAGAUUUUAGUAUUCUUUGUCUUUUCCUAUUUAAUAUGUGUGUUUUAAAAUAAUUAAUUCCAUAUAUACAUUUCGCAAUUACAUACAUUAUAUGUAAUUAUUUUACUAAUUCUACAUAUACAUAAUAAAUAGUAUACAACAAUUUCAUUAUACAUAAUCAUAAAAUUUUGAUCCAUAAAAACAGUUUAUACAAUAAUUUCAUUAUAUAUAAUCAUAAAAUUUUGAUCCAUAAAAAAUAAAAAUACAUUUGUGUGAUUUUACAGGUCGUAUUCUAAAUAAAUGGAUGAUAUAAUUAAGGGUUUACAUGAUAAAAUAAAACUACUCAAUAUAAACUAUAAAAUUAUUGUGUUUAUAAAUGUCAUAUUAAAAAAAAUUAAACAGGUAAAUUUUAAAAUAUAUAUUAUCACUUAUACAAAUAAAUAUUCAUUUAUCAAAAAACUAACACCUGCGCGGAUGCGCGGGUCAAGCUCUAGUUCAGAUUUAUUUUAGUUAUCAUGAUUACAAUCCUUAAAAUGUAAUAUACUAUAUAGUGUUUGUUCAUUUGUCCUAUCAUACAACAGGAUUCCAAAUAAUUUGUAAGAGAAUCUUAUACUAGGUCUAAAGCUAACAUAGUCCUUUGACCAAAAAGGAAGCUAUCUGGCUCUGAAAGUAAAGGUUGAUUGCUAAACAAGAAAAAAAGCCAAGGGUUGGGCCUCGAAUGAAUCUUGAUUGGGCUUAAAGUGUCAGUUUGGGAAGUCGAUCUACCUAUCUGGUGGAUCGACCGAUUCAUUAUGGUUCAUACCAUGGAAAUGUCAUUACCAUUCAAAGCCUAAAAAUUAUAAUAUAAGAUCAUUAUUAAUACAUGUCUUUUAGGGAGUAUUUCUUAGCUUUUAACUAAAAAAAAUUAAGAAACAUCUUCUAAAAAACAUCAGUCGGGUUCUUAAGAGAUGUUUCUUAGCUUUUUUUUAGUUAAAAGAUAAGAGACGUUUCUUAUAUUCGCUAAGUGACUCUCUAUAAUAAACAUGCAUUAAUCAUGCCCUAAGUCACCAUGUAGUUUUGGAUAUUGACUACGAACAUUAAAUACUCUCUCCACAUAAAAAAACAUACUCUCUCCAUAUUUUUGUAUUUGACGUUUUUCAGUUUUGCACAAACAUUAAGAAAACUGAUAAAAUUUCUAUUUUAAACUUUUCAAUUGUUUUAGAUUAGCUUUUUAGUCAUAAAGAUGCUAAAAUUCACGUUAAUAUUACAAGGAUAGAAACAUCAACUUCUAUCAUUAUUUGCAUUGGACUCCGUAAACGUCAAGUAUAUUGACACAAAAAAAAUCACUAGAACGUCAACUAUUUCCGAACGGAGGGAGUAUUAAUCAUGCGUCGUUUUUUAAAUUAUCAAAUUCCAAUGCUUUUUAAUCAAUAGUUUUUUUAAUAAAUCCAAUUAUUUUUAUUAAAAAUUGCAAUUUUUGUAUAGGAAACAUAAAAAAUAUAUCUUUGUGAAUCAAAAAAUUUCUCUAAAAUUUUUAUCUUAAUGAAACUGAGAUAGUAACUUUUAACCUUUUGUACUGUGUGUUAAAUUCAAGCUUGUCCCAUUUCCCAAAAAAAAAACAUUUAAUAACUUUAAAUAAGCAAGAGAACACAAGCUUAAGAUGCAAAUAUAGAAAUGACAUUAUAAAAACAUGACAAUAACCCGAAAGUCACAAGACCUAUAAAGAUCGCCGCACAACACAAAACACAAAGACAACAACACAAACAAAGUUUUAAGCAAGCAUUACACAACAGUUGAGAAUAUAAUGGUUAAGACUACCACCACGACAACAAAUCUCCUCCCAAUGAAUCUCUUCCAUGUCUGGAGAUGGACAAGACUUGUAGAUCCCCCGUUUCCGAGAGUGAAGUCUAUUGAACGAAGCUCCAAUCAGCAUAAGAUUAUCUUUAACCGACUUAAAUACAACACCCCAACCUUUAGUUACAUGUGCCAUCACAGGUAUAGUUCCAAGCUUCUUCGAAGUGUUUGUGUUUACAUUAUACACGCGAAGCUCAUUCAAUGAUGUAUCCAGCAAGUAGAGAGUAUCAUUGACCACCGCAAUACGCGGAGGCGCUUGGGAAAUGGAUAAAGACAUGUCUGCAAGCAUAUUUGGUAUCAACUCCCAAGAAUUUGUUUCCUCAUCGUAACUUUCUGCACAAGUUAGGUUUUCGUCGUUUUCAUUCUGACCGCCGAUAACAUAAAACUUACCACGCAAGAAGCAUCCGGAACACAACUUCCUCCGCCUAUGCAUUGGAGGAAUGGAUGCCCAUGUUUUUGUUUCGGUAUUGUACUUUUCUACUAUGCUUACAACCUCAACCCCAUUUUUACUUAUCGUAAAUCCGCCGGCGAAAAAGGCAUUUGUCCCGUGGCUUGCGGAAGCAAACAUGACUCUCGGUGUAAUCAUCUCAGGACCUUUGAACCAUUUGUGCAUUGCAAGCUCGUAACGCCACACCCUAAUGCCCUCCUCAGAUCUCCAGAUGACGAUUAGUUGCGUACCCACACAAGUAGUUUCCUUAUCACCACUGAAAAAACUAACGCCAGAAGAGAGCUUUGGAAGUCUCUGGGAAGUUUUGAAGUCCUCAUCAUACAUAGUCCAACGCCUAUCACUUCUUGACAGCAUAAAAAAGUACGGUUUCACAAGUCCGAGCUCUCGCCUCGUUCGGAAAAUUUCACUACUUUUCAGCAACUGUGAAAACUGUUUGUUGAGAAAUUGUAGUUUCCAAUACUCAGGGCAUGGAACACGGGCAAAAAUCUCGACCUGAAGCUCGUACAAGAGCUGUGGAGCAACAUGGUAUGCAUUUUGAGAUGUUAAACAUGCAAGGCUUUGAGCUAUUUCUUUUGUUUCUCCAAUUUCCUCUCCUUCUGACGCAGAAGAGGAAUCAUCAUACAUAUCGAGGAUAAUAGGAAUAGUACCAACGAUCAGAAUCAUUGGUUUAGAUUGGCUUAAAAUUGACAUAACUAUCUGUAACAGACCAAAAGAAAAAAAAAUGUUUAUGGUGUUAUUUGCAAAAGAAUUAAUAUAGCAUUUUCAACAUACACGACUAUACUUUUGGUGUUAAAGUUAUCAAUAAUAUGCUCAAUAAUGUGUAUUAGAAUUUGCGCAUAUGAAACGUACAAAAUCAAAAAAAAUCUUAUGGAGAUGUGCAAUGUCAUGUUAGGGUGAAAUUUAGACAAUAUUACAAUCAAUAGACAAAAAAGUUUCCAAUACAUAGAAAUUAUAGACAACGACAUACGAACAUUAUACCACGUUGACAACACUUUUUUUAAUUCCAAGAAGAUGUAUAUUAUAAUUAUUUAACAAGAUAGCGAACCGAAAAAAAAAACAAAACAAAAAGUGAUAUGCCUACAAUCAGUACUGCCUACAAUGAGACAUCAGACACUAUCCGCCUAAACAAACUUGAAAACUAUUGCAUUGGUAUUUAAUGUUUUAUAUUAAAAUGAAAACUUUAGAAAUGCUAAACCAAUUUCUUGUUUCGCUUCAUUGUUAUAAAGCAUUUCCUGUUGAUCAAUGAAUCUAAUAUUUCAACAAAAAAAAACUAUUUUAUUAAUUUUUUAUAGUGAACAUACAAAUUAGGGCCUAAAUACCUUGAAUAUAACAAUAAACGUCUUAAAUAUGUAUAAGCUGGUACCUUAUAAAAUGAAAAUGGAUGAUGCUAUUGGAGUUUCGAAUCGCAGUAUAUAUGGUUCGAGUAACAAUAUAAAUUAUCAAACAGAAUACGAGAUUAUAUAGUGUAAGAUUUUACAUUCUUACCAUGACAAUGAUUUUUGACUAGAAAUUUGGUAAUUUAUUAAAGACGAGUUAUUGAUAAAAUAGUUGACCAUUUUAGUUUUUGUCUUUUUGGCUAUAUAUCUUCAAUUCAAGUCAAGCUACGUAAUUAAAGUUAUCAUGUUUACAAAAAAAAGUUGACCAAAUGUUUCAUUUGAGAAUCUGUCAAAAAAAAAAAAAAAGGAACAUAAAGAAGUAACAUAUUGAAUUAAAUAUUAUAGAAAAUAAUGUGGGUGUAUAAUUGACUAAUGUAGAGGACCGUGAGGAAAGAAUUUAGUAAAAGGGGUUGGUUUUUGUCCCAACUGACACAAACCAGAGUUAAAUCUGAUUCAAAGGGGUUGAUUCGCUUUAGAAAGAACUGUCAGCCAAUGGGACAGAGAGGGCUCUGAUUCUGCAAAGGAUUCACACUCUGGUAACAAAGACGCAUAACAUUCUGAAGAUAAUAUGUUGAACAAUCGCAGGGAAAAUUAGAUUCUGAAUAAUGAAAAUAAGGAGCAAAGUGGCCAAGCUGAUGUUCCAGCUGCCAAAAUAUUGUCUGAUGAGUAUAACGAACAUGAUGAAGAUAAUGAAAGUUGUCUAAGACCUUGUCCUUUAACAUCUCUGGUUUGUUACGACUACACACUCUCAUUACUUAGUGUAGGAAAGAUGUGAAUCUUUUGCUAGUGUUAGAAAAUCAUGCAUAUCUGCUUGGUUGGUAUGUUAAACACCGCGGAAUCAGAUCCUGCAGAAAAAAUGCAACAGUGAGUGACCAUGGGGAUACAGCUCUAUGACCAUUUGGUUCAACUUUACUUGAGCUAGGUUUAAGACGGUGACAAUCUAAUUUACCUUUCCUUUGCUGGAAAUGACAUGUUUAGCUGGGAAUUCAACCUUUUUGGGUUUAGUGAUUGUGUCUUCACGUUUAUUCGUUCUUGGCGUUGGUCAUGUCCAAAGGGUCGCUUUCUAAAUACAAUUUGGUAAAACAAAACACCAAUCGACCAUACGUUAACCUCAAGUUUGAACACAAUAUUUUAGAACCAAAAAAAAACUUUAAACUUAUUCUGGUUAAGACAUUACUGACCAGUCGCUAACCUUUGAUGAGAUCACAGGAGUUUUGAAUCGCAAGGACCUGAAAUCCAGAAUUCUCAACUUUGUUAGCUAAACAUUAUAAACAUUUUCACCGAACCAGGCAUCGAAAAACGCCAGAAUCCCCUCCGCGAGAUUAAAAUAAAAGUGUUUAUUCUGUAUUAAACUUGGGCUACUUUACACCAAAUUCAUGUUAAUCUUGUGAUGCAUAUUAUUGCCAAAUUUAUCGCACAGAAGCUGAUAUACAUAUAUGGAUAACGGAUCUAUACGCUUUUUUGUCAACAUACGGAAUUACGGAUCCAUAUGCGUUAAAUCUUGGAAAGACUACAAACAAGGAAAUUUGAUAUAAUAAGAUUAAGUGGGUUUUUCAUACCCUGAAUUAUCUAAGGACCACGCCAUAUCUAUCUGAUAUACUCUUGAGCUUAACGUUAAUUUUGGGUUUCAGUGCUUCAGCCCUAGCUACUAUAGAUGUAUUUGGAUAUCUACGUACUUUGUGGCCUUAUCUUAAUAGACGGCAAUGAAGACCAAAAGCAGUCACUAUUAGUCUGUUAUUGACGGACCUCGCUCAUGUUUGCCGUCAGAGACACGGCACAAGAUCCACCGCCAAAAGGAAAAAGAGUUUUUAAGCUUUUUGCCAUCAAAUUUUUUGCCCUAGUGAAGACAAAAGUUUUGCAGAAUCCACCAAAAUUCUUAGUUGUAUUUUCUAAAUUUGGAGGGUCCCUUACCCACACCAUAUAAUUCCAUAAAUGAAAUAACAUUAAAGCGUAAAAGUGUAAAACUGGAACAUAGCCAUCGGCCUAGCCUCUUGUUCAGUUUCACGCGGUUUCUUCCAUAAUUAGAGCGUAAGCAUGACGAAUAUAACAAUUAAUCUCCACGCCUUUUCUUUUCUAUACCGACUAGGAUAAGACCCGCGCCUUGCGCGGGAUUAAGUUAUUAUUUUUAUUAUAUUUUGGAGAAUGAAACAAUAGUUUGGCUUCAUUUGGAUUACGAGUGUUCAAUCCGAAUAUCGGGUUGGUUUCGGUUCGGUUCAGUUUUUUUUGGUAUUUGGUUAGUAAAAUAUAACUACUAUUCUAAAUCCAUAUUUACUUUGAUUUUAGUUUUUCACAUACUUUUGAAAGAUUUCAACUGGACGACUAAAUUGAUCAGCCAAUCUUAUUGCUUUAAAUCAUUAGUGUAUAUAUAUUAUAUAUAUAUAUAUAUAUUAUUUAGUUUGAAUAUUUAUUAAAUAAAAAUUCAUAUGCGUUAUAUUUUAUGAUCAUUUGUAACUUAUUAUAACAAAAAAAUAAUCUAUUGAUCACAAAAUUUUCAGAGUGGGAAUAUUCAAAUUUCUAAUAAUAUAUAGACGUUUUGAAAAAUUCAAAUAUAACAUAUAAGAAAAAAUAUAAAUGUUUUUAUUAUAUAUUUAAUAUGAUUUUUUAAUAUCUUUCAAUAAUAUAAAAUUAAAAAAAGAACUAAGAUACCAAAAUUGUUAUCAAAUAUUUAUUAUUCAUAAUAAUUAAUUUUCAUAUAUACGUUAAUCAUAUUAGGUAAUUUCGUAGCUUCUAAUUAAGGAAAGUGCAAAAAAAAUUCUGGUAGAUUAUUUAUCAAUUCGAUAGUUAGUUUAAUAAAAAAUAUAAUGUAAGUCAAGAUAGACCAACCUAUUUUUCUAAGAAUAGUAUAUUUUAUAUAGUCAUUUAUUAAAUGAGAAUUUAUAAUCAUACAGUUCUAUGAUCAUUCAUAUCAUUUUAUAACUCAAUAUUUAAAUCAUCGAUAACAAAAUUUUCAAUGUGAAAUCUUUAAUAAGUUUAUAAUUUAUAAAUGUUUUUGAAAAUUCAUUGAAAGUUUUAAUAUUAAAAUAUUUAUGUAAUCUUAUGGUAUAUAGUAUAAUCUAUAUAUAUAUAAAUAUAUAUGUUUUAUUAUUAAAUGAUAUUUUUUACUCAUAUGGUUUUAAAAUAAUGUGUAUCUUCUUAUAAUAUUAAAUAAAAGUUCAUAUUAAUACAAUUUUAUGAUCAUUUGUAACUUAUUAUGACAAAAAAAAUAAUCUAUUGAUCACAAAAUUUUCAGAGUGGGGAUCUUCAAAUUUCUAAUAAUUUAUAGACGUUUUUGAAAAAUUCAAAAUAUAACAUAUAAGAAAAAUUAUAAAUGUUUUUAUUAUAUAUUUAAUGUGAUUUUUAAAUAUAUUUUAAUAAUAUAAAAUUAAAAAAGAACUAAGAUACAAAAAUUGUUAUCAAAUAUUUAUUAUUCAUUAUAAUUAAUUUUCACAUAUACGUUAAUCAUAUUAGGUAAUUUUGUAGCUUUUAUUUAAGGAAAGUGCAAAACAUUUUUUGGUACGUUAUUUAUCAAUUCGAUAGUUAGUUUAAUAAAAAGUGUAAUAUAAGUUAAGAUGGACCAACCUAUUUUUCUAGGAAUAGUAUAUUUUGUAUAGUUAUUUAUUAAAUAAGAAUUUAUAAUCAUACGGUUCUAUGACCGUUCAUAUCGUUUUAUAACAAAAUAUUUAAAUCAUCGAUAACAAAAUUUUCAAUCUGAAAUCUUUAAUAAGUUUAUAAUUUAUAAAUGUUCUUGAAAAUUCAUUGAAAGUUUUAAUAUUAAAAUAUUUAUGUAAUCUUAUGGUAUAUAGUGUUUAAUAUAUAUAUAUAUUUAUUUAUUUUAUUAUUAAAUAAUAUUUUUUACUCAUAUGGUUUUAAAAUCAUGUGUAUCUUCUUAUAAUAAAAAUGUUAAACCAUUGAUCAUUAAUUUUUAACAUAAUAAUUUUAAUAGUUUUAGUCAUUUAUUGUCGUUUUUAAAAAUUCAAAAUAUAACAUAUACGAAAAAAUCUAAAUUUUAUUUUUAUAGCUAAUUUGAUUGUUUAAUUUAUUUUAAUAAUAUAAAAUUAAACAAAAAAUGAUGGAGGAGAUAUACAUUGUUAUCAAAUCUUUAUUAUUAAACUCAUUAAUUGUCAUAUAUAUAUUAGUCAUUUAUGGUAAUUUCGUAGGUUUUAUUUAAGGAAAGAAAAUAUCAUAUCAUAUCAUUAUAUCAUAUAGUUUGACCAACUUAUAUAUCUAACAACAUAUAAAAAUCGAAUGUGGACCUACUUAUUUUUCAAUUGAAUGUAAUUGACUACCUAAUUGAGUGUCACCUAUGCAUUGGGGCCUCUUUUAAUUAAUACAAAAUUGAGGUUACAUCUUUUCAAAUGUUCCUCCCUUAAUAUAUAAGGGAUCAGUUCCCAUACAAAAUUGGAUAUAUAAACGUACAGUGUGCAACAUAAUGAAAUUACGGGGAAUAAAUAUUACUAGGAUGAGACCCACGCUUUGCGUGGGAUGAUAAAGAAAUAAAAAUCAUAUAUUCAAAGUAGUAUCGUCCAAUCCGGAUAUUGGUCUGGUCUCGGUUCAGUAUUUUGAUAUUUUGGUUUAUAAAAGUUAGAUACCAUAUUAAAAUCAUACUCUGUUUUGGUUUGGUUCAGUUUAUAUACUGUCUAUUUUUGGUUUGUCCAAUUUUAGUCUGGUUUCGGCUUGGUUUUUCGAUUUUUUGGUUUAUAAAAAUUUAAAAUAAAAUUUAUUUUGAUUUGGUUCGGUUUAUAUACUGUCGGUUUUUGGUUUAUUCAAUUUUAUACCAAAAAAAACUAUAUUUAUCUUCUAUUACAUUUUGUCAAUUUAAUUUUGUAUGAUUAAAAAUCAAAUUUAUUAAAUACUACUCUAAUUUUUAAUAGAAGGUUUUUGUAUUAUAUUUAACUAUUAAAAAUAACUGUUAAAUAAAUUAUAGUUAUUGCAUAUUUAUAAGAAGAAAAGAAAAAUGAUUAAUAAUAUACUAAUUUUAAAACAAAUAUAUGUCAAUUAUUCAUAUUAACGUCUUAAAUAUCAAGAUCAUAUAAAUAAAAUAAACUACAUGUAUAUAAUUAUAUUAUGCAAUUUAUAUAAAACUAUACUACUAUAUUUUAAUUAAUCAGUUUCUUCGGUUUAUAUGGUGUGAUCGACUUAUAUAAUGAACCAUAUCUAUAUACCACGGUUUCUAAAAAUAACAUCUAUUCGGUUUAUAUGGUGUUAUCAAAUCAAACUAAUUUUUCUAUUUCGAUUUGAUUGGGUUUUAGUUGGUCCGGUUUUGACUGAAUUGAAUACCCUUAAUUCAAAUUAUUAAAUCGUAGAUAGUUUGCAAACAUGUUUCUUGUACUACAAUAAAAAUCCUCUCUAUCAAAAUCAGAUAGUUGGUCAUGUUUUUGCAUUUUAAAUAUAAUACGAAAUAUUGUAGAUAGGUCACGUUUUUGCAUCUUAAAUAUAAUUUUCCAUAUUUACCUCAUAUUGAGUUGUGAAGGGGCAUAGCUACUUUUGUGUCAAAUGCAACACUUAUAAUCCUGCAGUAGAAAGCGGUGGCUCUUUGAUUUCUUUAACAUAUAUUUUCAAUACAAACAUGGUACCUACCUAACAUUACGGUCGUUAAAUUUCACCAUUAACUACUAAGAUUUGCAUUUAUUAAUAAUUUACCUUAGUUUCCAAAUAAAUAUAAUUAAUAUUUGUCUUGGUGAUAAAGAUUUUCCUUAAUCCCCUAUUACCGAACUGUCAAGUUUAGUAUAUUUGAUAUUUAUUAUUCAUUGCAUUAAUUUAAGAAUUUGUGGGUUGUUUCUUUUACUAAACCAAUCUCACAUUAAUAUCCCCAGUUACUCCAUUAAAUAAUUUUUUUUUCUCAUGCUCGGUAUCAAAACCGUAAGCUGGCGUAAUGUGCCUCUAAUAUUCAAUAUAUCCUAGCGAAAUUAUUACAUAGCUUUUGGACCGAUUUUUUUUUUUCAAUUGAAUAUGGAGCUGCCACAUCAUACUAAUUGAUAUGCUAAUUAACUGACAACUAAGCUGGAUACUUUUUUAAUUAAUACAAAAUAUAGGUUAUAACUUUUCAAAUGUUCCUCUAUUAAUAUAUAGGGGAUAUUAAAGAGAGUACUACUUUCUCAUAGUAAUUUUGCUUUCAGGAGAACGUGGUAGGAUCUCAAAGUGGGUUAAUCAGUUAAUCUUCUUUCAUACUAGUAUAUUACUCUAAGAACUCUAUCGGAACACUAAAUAUAUGCCUUCACUUGGAUGAUCUAGUUCUGGAGAAUGACAAUGUCUUUUUCAACAUAAUGUUCCAAACUAGUGAAGAGGACAUACAUCCCUAUAGAUUAAUUAGCCUGCUUUCUCUACUCACAUAGAUAAGUUUAUGAGGAUCAAGCAAAAGUUUUCUUCAUUCUGCUUUUCUUAUUUCAACGCAAUUUUGACACCAAAAUCGAUUGUUUAGCAUAUAGUGUUAUGUUAUAUUCUUAUGAUAUCACCUUUCUAGAACCAUAUGCACCACUAGUUUGGGAUUAUGAAACAUUUUAAUUUAUUUUUAUGUAUCUUGACAAAAAACCUUGCUAAUUUUGGAUUAGAACGAGAAUAUAUUAAUGUAUUUAUAUUAAUUCUAAGAAUACUUCUUUUCAGUCAAUGAGCAUACAUGAGAAAUAAUUCUGCUAAUUUACUAGCUAGGUUCUGGUUCGGUUUAUUAGUAAGUACACGUCCACUUUAGGUAAUGAUAAAUCUUUAAUUUUGUGGGGGCAAGUUAGUUCUUAGACUUUAUCCAUGUUAAAAUAGGUCAGUGUGGAAUUAGGACCACGCCAUAUCUAUCUGAUAUAUGCUUGAGUUUACUUCUAUUUUUGGUUUCAAAUUUUCAUAUACAUGUAUCUGGAUAUAUACGUAUGUGUACACCUUAUCUCAUAAAGGAAAAGAGAAAGCCAAAACCCAUCAAUGUUAUACUUAUAGAUAGGCCAUUCUUACAUUUGCCGUCAGAGCCACGGCAUAAUCCACCGUCAAACAAAAAGAGACAGUUUAAACGCCUUUUCCCAUUAAAUUUAGCACACAUCGAUACACAAAUUUUGCAGAAACCUCCAAAACUCUUCUUUUUUCUUUCAUAUAUUCAUAGGGUCCCUUGCCCACAAAUAUAAUUACGAAAAUGAUAUGGUAACCACAUUAAAGCGUAAAAAGAGAAAACGCUGUAUUCUAGCCAUCGGCCUCUUGUUCAAUUUUACGUGGUUUCUUCAAUAAUUAUGGAGACUCAAAGCUUCUAAGAGUAUGUCACUCAACCGCAGCAUAUUUUGUUUUCUCUACACCUUAUAACAGUUAGAUCAUUCCCAAUAUGUUAUGGUUAGUGGUUACCAUUUGAGUUGGAUUACCUAUCACCGUCUAUCCAAUUAUCCAAAUACGACACUUGUGACAUUUUUUUAUAUUACAGCUAGACAAAAACUUCUAAGUAUACAAAUGAACUCAAAAGCUGUAUAUAUAUAAAUUAUAUGCUCAUAAAUUUAAACUAUUCUAAGUACUUUAGAAGAAGUGAACCAGGUUUUUACUGAUUAAAUGAAUUAGAAAUAUAUUUUUUUUAAUCACAAAGGGUAUAUUUGUUUCAAAAAAAAUAAAAAAAUCACAAAGGGUAUAUAAAAGCGAUAAAUGUAAACAUGUUGCAGCAAGUACGUAGGAGCAGCAAGAAUGACAUCUUAUCUAAAAAUGAUAGACUAUCGCUAUUUAGGUUUUGGAUUUUGGAAGAAAGAAGAAUGAAGAAGCUAGCUGAGUUUUGAAAACUCUUUGAUUAUGUCCAAAACUUGCAUUUAAUUCAUAAAGUUGUUACUGCUGUCUUUUUUUCUUGUCCUUCGGAUUGAAUUCAAUCUUACUCAAAGCAAAUACAUUCUUUAUCCAAUUAUUUUAUGACAUUUACAAAGUCGAAUAUUAACAUAAUUUGAUCUAGAAAACCCUUUCUCAAAAAAAAAAACCAUAAUUUAAUUUAGUAUAUAACUAUUAAAUAGUAGUUUAAAGUUUUAUAUUAUCAUGCAAAAAAAUAUUUAGAUAAAUAUUUUUUCUCUGCUUCAUUAUUAAUUUAUUAUACUAACCGCUAUAACGCUCUAAUAUACAUCCAUCAAAUAUACCAUUUUGAAACAAAUAAUUGAGAAUAAUAUGGUCCAUGCAACUCCUAUAUAAACAUAGAGUAAUCCAUCUUCCAAUACAACAUCCAAACACAAAAAUAGUUCCACUUCUAAGCCCUAACUCCACAAGGAACACAAAACCCAUUGAUAAAAAUGGCUGAUAUCCAAAAUACCAUUUUCGUCUUCCGACCAGACCAGCAGAAUCUGGCACCUAAACCUCUGACUCCAUUCUCUGCCGUGACCCCUCACCGUGCUACGGCCUCACGAGCACGCCGCCUCAUCUCUACCACAACCCUCGAAAUGAUUAUUGAAGAAGAUACCGCACCGGAAGAAGAUCAUCCUAGCACUGUCGCUGCGAGGGACACUCUUCCGGUAUUUCCAUCGACCUCCUGUUUCUUGAUGGCCAAUAAACAAGUCUCUUUCAUGUUAUACGAAAGCUGCAAGUGCCCUUGAUGAUUUUCGCUACAAACCGACUGAAAAAUGGUGUUUUUUUUCUUGUACUAGUCAAGUUAGUAAUAUUUGAUGUCAGUUAUGGUCGAUGCUUUGUUUUUACAGAAGUUUAUUUUCUGUUAUACGGAAGCUGCAAGUGCCCUGGAUGUUUUUUCACCACAAAGCAAUUAUGGUGUUUUUUUUUUACUUUUCUUGUAAUAAUCAAGUUAGUGAUGUCUGAUGUUCGAUAGUGCAUGGUGAUAUGUUUUAAUAGAAGUUGAAUCAACUUUCUCCGCUUUUACAGUUUCCACAGGAAUACAAGUAUGCCAAAUUGCCAACCACAUUAAUUUGAAAACUAUUCCAAACAUGUCCAACAGGAUAUCUCACACAUGAGAGAAAAUGAGAGCCGAUUGAUUUUCGGUUUUUAAUCAUCAAAAACUCUUAUGCAAUUUCUACAUUCAUGAUUGGUUCAAUUUUCUUAUAUAAGAAUACAUCUAGUGCAGGUAACACAAGUAUGUAGAGGAGUAUUUCAAAAACUAAUAAAAUAAAAAUAAAAAUAUAUAAAUUGAUAGAGUAUCUCAUGAGUUAUUUUUGCAAGAGUUUCUCAACUGUACAAUUUGUAUAUUGUUCUUUUUAUUUUAUAAUUUUCAAAAUAUUAUUUAAAAUAUUUGCAUAAGAUAUUCAUAACAUUUGUAUAAUAUUAUAUUUGUGAGAUACUUUUUUAGAAUAUCUUACUGUCAAAAGUGUAUUUAUUGGUUUCAGUUUCAAAACCAAAUAAAAAAAUUGGGUGCAUUAACAUUUUUCCUGAUUACAAAAUUUUAUUUAUAGGUUACUAGUUGCAUGCUUAUGUUAUUCGGGAAAAAUAAUUGAUAAUUUACCUUUUUAAACUAGCGCUAUUACAAAUUAUGAAAAAUAUUAAAAUAAUUAUAUUUAUUUUAUGUGUAUUUACAUAAAUGGACCACUUUGAACUGUUAACGGUUCUAUUUGCACAUUAAUGCUGAAAAUCUUAUAUAUGUUUUUGUCUCUAUUAAUUUGUAUGAUUAUUAAUAAAAUAAAAAAUGUAUUUAUUAAUUUGCUUAUCAAAAGUUUAUAAACUUGGAUGAACAAUAAUACCCUUGUAACUUGGGCUUCAUCCCUUUUCAUGCAGCCCAUAAGCUAUUUAUAAGGUCUAUUAUGUUGGCAAAAUAAUGUUUUUGACAGAAAAUUACUAAUAAAAAUAAAAAAUAAUUUAAUUUUAAUUAUAAAUAGAUUAAUAUUUAUUAUUUAUAAUAAAAAAUAUUUAAAAUAUUAAAUUUUAUUGUUAUUUUUAAUAAAAAAAUAUUUAAAAUAUUAAAUUUUAUUGUUAUUUUAAUAAAAAAUAUUUAAAUUAAUAAUUUUUAAUAUUAUUAAUAUUAUCCGCGGGUCUAGCGGAUCACCCGCGGGUUUUAGCGGGGCGGGUGCGGAUUUCAUAUUUUCUUCUUACGGGUCAAACGGGUCAAAUUUUUUGAGUAAAAAAAAUCAGUUUACCCGCAGGUUGGCGGGUCAGCGGGGCGGGUUUGACCCGCAACCCAGCUCUACUUACCUGUUCCAAAAGAGACAAGACCGUAUGUGUAUGUCAUCAGGACCGAACUUUCAGUUUCUGUUUACAUAACGUUUUAACUUGUAACGUUUAUGGGCUUAGCUAGCCUUACUUAGGAGCUGUUUUGUAGUUAUAAUAAUAUUUCAGUUCUAUUUUGCAAAUUUAUUAGAGUUAGGUACCGGAUUGCAAAUUUAAUCUUCGUUUCUAAAACCCUAAAUCUCUCUCUCUCUGGAUUCAGACAGCUUCAAUGGCGUCUUUUGAGCGUUUCGACGACAUGUGCGACCUGAGACUGAAGCCCAAGAUUCUCAGAAACCUUCUCUCCGAGUACGUCCCGAACGAGAAGCAGCCUCUCGUCGACUUUCAAUCACUCUCCAAGGUCGUAUCAACCAUCUCCACCCACAAGCUGUUAUCCGAGUCUCCGUCGUCUUCAGCUGACCAGAAGAAGAUUCAAGCUAAGCCUUCCAAAUCAGCCGUUGAUGAGUGGGUCGAGAGGUUGUUGGCUCUGGUUUCUUCAGACAUGGUACAGACAGACUCUCUGUCUUUAAACAGUAAAUUAAUAAAGAGGAAAGGUGUCGACUUUGGUGUUUGAAAUGAUGGUUUAUUGAUGUAGCCAGAUAAAUGCUGGGUGGGUGUCGUUUUGAUUGGAGUAACUUGCCGAGAGUGCUGCUCUGAUCGUUUCUUUAGCUCAUACUCUGUUUGGUUCAACAGCUUACUAUCGCAUAUUAAGGUAUGUGUGUAUAUGUUUUGCUCUCUGGUGAGAUUUGAGUGUUUGUAUUCAGUUAUUCUGACUUUUUUGUAUUUUGUUUGAAAGCAGAAUCCAGAAAGUUCUAGAAUUGUUCUAGUGGCUUCAUGUACUUCAGUCUCUGAUCUCCUUACAAGGUCUGUAAUUGAAUUAUGUCUUGUCAUCAUUUACACUGGAAAAGCUGUGUAGAUCAGAUUGUUAUACCAUUUUUUUUUAUUUUGUGUGUGUGUGUGUGUUCUACGUUAACUCUUUAAGUUUGCUCUUCAAGUUUUUUUGUAAAUCUAAGCUGUUUUUUUUUAAUUGGAAUCAGGCUGUCUAGAUUCACUAAUACAAAGAAAGAAGCAGUUUCACACGCUUCGAAAGUAGUCCUGCCGAUUAUUAAACUAUUAGAGGAAGAAUCUUCAGAAGCACUAUGGGUAAGUUUCAUAUUUAAGAAGACAUUGAACUUUCUCUUUUAGCAAAUGUUAGUUCUGCUCUAAUCAUGUCAUUGCUGCAAUACUCAGUUUUUGUUUUUUUUUUUGGUAUUGGAUGUGCAGGAAAGCAUUGUGCAUCUGCUGAGUACAAUUGUUAUCUUGUUUCCUGCUGCCUUCCACAGUAGUUAUGACAAGGUGAGAUGUCUUCGCUUCUCAGAUGUAUUUUAUUUGUAUCGGUAUUUUGAUAACUACAUGACAAUUCAUACUCUAAUGAAUAUACGCACAUAUUAUGCUUAGGUGGUAACAUUAUGAUUUGUAAAAGGUCUGGUAAUUUGAUAGCUUUUGUAUCACUGUUUUAUUGAGUCUAUUUGAAAUGAUAUUCCUUGCAGGUUGAAUCCGUUAUUGCCUCCAAAAUAUUUUCUACGAAAACCAGUUCUAAUAUGUUAAAGGUAUUCACCGUUUUAUACAUUCACUAAUUCACAAUUUCCAUCAACAAAGUAAAUAUUAUUAUAUUAACCACGCCCACUUUUCUAUCUCAACCUUUCAGAAAUUUGCUCACUUUCUAGCAUUACUCCCAAAAGCUAAUAAAGGAGAUGCAGGCAGCUGGUCCUUGAUGAUGCAGAAGCUGUUGAUAUCUAUUAACGUUCAUUUAAAUAAUUUUUUCCAAGGUUUAGAAGAUGGUAAUUUUCUUACUUCCCUUGUUCCUUUUUUUUGUCUGCGGCUAUAUAGUUUCUCUGAUAGAACACUGUGGCAUUUAUCACAGAAACAGUAGGGAAAAAAGCGAUCCAAAGAUUGGCUCCUCCUGGAAAAGACUCUCCUUUGCCUUUGGGAGGUCAAGAUGGGGGCUUGGAUGAUGCAUCGUUGAACUCUGAGGAGUUUAUUGUUUCCAGAGUUUCUGCACUUAUGUUCUGCUGCUCAACAAUGCUAACUAGCUCGUUCAAAUCCAAGGUAGUGUGUGCUUCUUCUCCCUUGAUGUGUGCUAUCCAAAAAAUGUAAUUUGCUUCUGAAAAAUGCUGAUAUUCUUUUCUCUCAACCUUCAGCUUAAUGUUCAAGUUGCCUCAUUAUUAUCCCUCGUUGAGCGAGUGUUGGCGGUGAAUGGCUCUCUACCACGAUCCAUGUCACCUUUCAUGACAGGGAUCCAACAAGAAUUGGUUUGUGCAGAGCUUCCUACUUUGCAUUCUUCGGCGCUGGAACUCUUGCGCGCUACUAUAAAGUGCAUACGCAGGUAAUUGAAGAGUUAAUCCUUUGGUAGUUUAUGUCUUGGUUUGUUACUACUUAACAACAUCCUUGUGUUGAUUCAUUUUGCAGCCAACUUUUACCAUACGCUGCAUCUGUGGUGAGCGUUGUUAGUAGUUACUUCAAGAAAUGUUCAUUGCCAGAACUGAGGAUAAAGCUCUACUCAAUCAUUAAAACCUUGCUCAAAUCCAUGGGUGUAGGUAAUUUCAUAAGAUCUUCCCUUUGCUUGCAUUUUCAUUUCUCAGCUUGAGGUGAUGAAAAUAAAGAUCCUCCCUGACCAGGAAUGGCAAUGCAGCUGGCAAAUGAAGUUGUAUCUAAUGCCUCUGUGGAUCUAGAAGGAUUUGAUGCGGUAUCUAGCAAAACCCCAUCGCUUACAAAUGGUGCUGUUCUCAAGGGUGGCAGUAAAAAAAGGAAGCAUGCAUCUAAUUCCGGAGCCCAGGCAGAGAACUCUGCUGUUGAAGUGGGCGUCCCUCACAAUCACUCGUUGAAGAUAGCAGCUCUUGAGGCACUAGAAACUCUUCUCACCAUCGUAAGCUUCUUUUUAACUUAUUACUGUUGAUAGUUUAGUAUGAAGUUAGACUCUGUGGUUUGUUUAGUUAGUUACCUGAAUCAAACAUUCUUCUUUUCUUAUGGCUUUUAGGGUGGUGCAUUGGGAUCUAAUGGCUGGAGAGAACGUGUUGAUAAGCUUCUAAUGACCACAGCAAAAAAUGCUUGUGAAGGGAGAUGGGCUAAUUCUGAAACCUACCAUCAUUUACCCAAUAAGUCUUCAACUGAUCUUGUUGAGUUUAAGCUUGCAGCACUCCGUUCGUUUUUGGCAUCUCUCGUUUCUCCAUCACCAGUACGCCCUGCAUUUUUAGCUGAAGGACUUGAGCUUUUCCAAAGAGGUAACUAAAGAUUGUUGGCUUUGAAUUAAACUAUAAGCUUUUAAAGCCAAGAAACUGAUGCAUAUACUGUGGACGACAGGUAAGUGUCAGGCGGAGAUGAAAGUUGCUGAGUUCUGUGCUCACGCUCUCAUGUCUCUUGAAGUUGUCAUACAUCCGAGGGCACUUCCACUUGACGGUCUCCCAUCACUGAGCAGCCAGUUCCCUCAAAGCGAUUCUCUGGCUAGCCAAAAACACAACGCACCUGGUCUGAAUAAGAUGGACCGUAUUGCUGGAGAUGGCAGUGUUCUAUCCAACUUAUGGCUGGCAAACGUGGAUGUUCCAGCUAAUAGCGAGAUUGAGAGAACCGUAGACACGACUCUACCUCUCCCGGAGGCCAAAAGGUUGAAAGUUGGGAACGAUUUGGUUGGAUCAGAGAAUGUUCAACAUGCUGAUGUGCUUAUAAAGGUUCCUGAAUCAACUAAGGAAUCUCUAGUGCAUGUUUCAGAGAGAGAUGAUGAUAUGGUUCCCAAAGUAGUGAGUGAGACUCAAGAGGGAGAGAGUUUAGCGGGUAAGGAUAGUUUGAUGGAGGAAGCAGCAGUUGGUAAGAAGCAUGAAUCCUUAGGUGAAUCUGAUGAUGAUUCUAUUCCAAGUCUUAAGGCGGAUGAUUAUCUUUCUUCUGAUUCUGAUAUUGAAUCUUAAUGCAAGUCAAAAAUUCAUAAAUCUGUCUUAAGAGUAUCUUUUUUGUUUCUAAAGUUGUAGUUUUAUCAUCUUGAUGUUGUUAACAUAUAUGUUGUAAACAACUUUGAUAUUUUCAUAAAACAAGUUAAAACCAAACUUUCUUCUUUGUAGUCCCUGGUUAUUUAAUCCUAUUUUUACAGAAUCAUACAAUCUUUCUUAUAUCUUCUCGCCUCACCAUGCCAUUUUGUCAUAUCUUGAUUUGAGUGGCAAUCACCUCAGUGGUUUCUUCAAAAUCCUUAGUAACCAUUUUGAAGCAGAGAUCAUAGGUACUGUUAAACUUAAGUCAAUCUCAAAUAUCUCAGCCUCUCUUCCAUACGGAUAAGCCAACUAAGUCUUGACACUCUCUACAAUCUUUGUUAUACCUUGCUCUUUGUGCGCAAGCUUCUUUCUAGGUUUUUUGCCCCUUGGCCAUAUAAACAAAGUUGAUGUAAUCCUUAUCCCUUAAGUUGAAAGAUCAAUAAAGGUUUUCUUAUUUAAAAACAAACCUCCAAGGAGAGAUUCCAGGAUCUAUUUGACGUUGAUUGCUCUCACCAUAUGAAACAAAACGCAUUCACAGGACAUCAGAAUGUCUUUCACUAACGUGACUGGAGCUUGAUUCUGUACUUCUUUUCUUACAAUUUAGCCAAUCUCUUCCUCAAGCUUAUACGCAUGAUGCAAUGAUUCAAACCUUUAUUAAUACUCUGGAAGCCUUUACAGGCUUUCUAUGUUCAAACCACUCAAAGAUAAUUUAAUGAGACAUUUGGUAAAUUUGACUCAUACAUGAGAUAUAAAGAGAACACUGUAUGGCAUAAGCAUCAGAAUUAUUCAGAUAUCACAAAUCCAAAACAUAGGAAACUCAAAUAAUCAAAAUAGAGAGAAACACAAAAAGGCCAUCCUUGAGCUCUUUACUCCAUCCUCCUGCAUUUUCAAAAAAGACCCAACAAAAGGAGUCAGUUACAUACAAAAGUUAUAGAGUAUCAAAAAAGUUGAGAAUCAAUUAAUGAUACUCACAGAUUUUGUUGAAGGCAACAAUAUCACAGCUCUGGACAAACUCAUUGAUGGGUUCGACGGUGAGCUGCUCUUCAAUCAUAGUGUCAACAGACACAAGGUCAUCAACAAUUGUGCACAUAAUCUGCAACUUCUUGAUACCGUAACCAACUGGGACGAGCUUUGACGCUCCCCAGAAUAAUCCUUCCAUCUGGAUGGAUCUCACAGCUUCCUCUAGCUUCUUCAUGUCGGUCUCAUCAUCCCAUGGCUUGAUAUCAAUCAAAACUGAUGACUUUCCAGCUGAUAAAGAAAAAAUACAAGCCAGUUAGAACACAAGACAUAUCAGCAUAUGUAAUUAACAAAUGUAAAGACAGAACAUCAAACUUACAUUCCUUCUUCUUAGUAGAUGCCUUCACGGAAGCAGCUCUCUCUUCAGCAGCUUUCUUCUCCUCUUCGGUCUCCUCUCCGAAAAGGUCAACAUCAUCAUCGUCUUCCUCAUCAGCAGCAUCCUGAUAAAUCCCAAACUCCCAUGAGACUCGCUGAUUUACAAUCACAAGAGACAUAACGAGAUCUAAAAUAGAAACAAUCUGAGCAUACCUUAGAAUCAGCUGCUGGUGGAGUAGCAACAGCCUCUUCAGCGACUGGGGCUGAUCCCUCAACAACGACACCGCUUCCUUCAGCAGUGACACCACUACAAAACACAAAAGCAAACAUUAGAUGACUCCAACCAACAACAAACAAACCAUAACGAAGUGAGAACCAAUGACGAAGCUUACGAGAUCCUCAGGAGGGCAUCGAUGUGGUUGUACCAACGAGAAGCGUUGACAUACUGUGAAGAUGGGGGCUUUGCAAGUGCUGUGAAGACAGUGAUGUCAUCCUUUGAAGCCUGGUACCUGUAACACAAACACAAACCGUUAGUCUCAUAGUUUCGAACAAAGGUAGAGACUUUAGGAUCUAAUCUUGUUAGAAAAGUUAACAGAAUCUUACCCAGUGAUGUAACUGCGUGUGAGGAGAUGCUCAUCGAGCUUCUUCAAUCCGGAAUCAGAGUUAAGGUUUGGGAAAGCUGCCAUUGUGUUUCUAAAGCUCGAGUCUAUUUUUUCACUGAAUAUAAAGCAGAUCGGAACAGAUCAGAACAGCAAACUUUAUGUUGGAAAAAAAAACACGAACAGGGGAUUCAUUCAGACAUUAGCUCAGAACAGGAAGCAGACAAGACAUGGCGCAUUGGUCUAGGUUUCGUGAUUCAACAAGGUUAUGUUUGAUAAAUACGUAAAUUUUGAAUUUCCAGUCAAAUACUAAUAGAAAGAUAUAUACUUUGAGAUCAAACAAAGCUAGCAGUAGUCGCAAAAACAACUAUAACGAUGAAAAUCGAAGAAGAAGAGCAUACCUGGAGUUGCAAGGGAGGACUUGAAGAAGAUUGAGUGAGGCGGACGAGGGAUGCUGGAAUGUAUAUAACGCCUCUAGGUUUUCUUGUACUGGGCUUAUGUUGGGCCCAAUUAAUACCUCUCUGUGAGGCCUUUUUAGAUACUCGGGUGUUUACUUUUGUUCAAUGUUUUCAUAUCGCCGGUUUUGGUCACGGUAGUAUUUUGUCGCUUCUGUGAUUUAAAAUCUUUAGAUGUAAUUAAUGGAGAGAAACUACAUAAGCGCAUCUCUAAUCUAUGAUAUUCUCAAACAAAAAAAAAAGAUAUUUUAACAUAAUUAAUUUUAUAUGUUAAUUUUUCAAAGAGUUAAACCAGUGUCUGAUUGGCAAAUGUCUCAAAAACAAUCAUAAAAUUUCUCAGUUUUCAUUUAAUAAUUUUAUUCUCUCAAUUCUUUAUUAUUAAUAUUUUAAUCAUAUAAUUUGUUUCCUAAGUACAUCAUUGAAGAUGUUCUAACACAUCAUCUUCUUCCUUAUAUUCACUAGGGGCAUAGCCCCCGUGCAAGCGCGGAGCCAGGUACGUUAUUGGUGCGUUGUGUAGUUUCGUGUACGGCAUUUUGUUAUUUAUUUUUUAACUUUUGUUUUUCCGUGUUGUAUAUAAUGGUGAUGAAUAUAACAUUCGAAGUCACACAGCUUAAUUAGGUUGAUAUAAUAAUGACCGGUGAAUUCAUGUGUUGAUAUUUUCAUAUUUUAUUUUCGUAAUGAUUUGAUCGACCAUUACCGUUAUUAACGCUUUCAUAUUCAAAAGCUGAGGUCUAUGAAGUUGGUUAGUGUUUAUUUAGGUAGUUGUUAGUAUAGAAAAAAUAGUAUAAAAAAAUAUAAAAUUUGGAUUUAAAAAUUUAAGAAGGUAGAUAUAGGGGUGUUCAAUCCAGAUAUCGAUUCGAUUUUGGUUUAGGUUUUUCAGUUUUCCGGUAUUUCAUUUUUGUUUAAAUAGCUAUCAUAUUAAAUCUAUAUUUAGUUUGGUUUGAUUUGGUUUAUAUACCAUUGUUUUUUUUUUUAGUUUUAUACCAAAAUACAAUAUAUAUAUAUAUAUAUAUAUAUAUAUGAUUUUUUAUAUAUGAUUAGAUAUCGGGUUGUGCAUAACAUUAAAAUAUUUCGGUUUUAAGUAGAUAAUUUUUGUUACUAUUUAAAAAUUAGUAAACAUAUUAAGUUAAUAAUAAUAAUAGUUUAUAUAUAGAAUAAAAAUAAGAAAAUUAGUAAUCCAUAAUAUUAUAAAUAGCUAAAUAUUUACCAUUUUUCAACAAAAGAGUAAAAAAUAUGUUUUUUUUUUAAUUUGAUAAAAAUGAAAAAAUAACUUAAAAUAUAAUAUGAAAUUAUUAAAAUCAACAUUUUAAGUAUGAAAAUUAUAUCAAUGAAAUAAAUUAUGUAUAUAUUAUUAAUUAUAUUAUAUAAUAUACAUAUAAUUAUAUUACUGUAUUUUAGUUGUCAGGUUCAUUCGUUUUGAUCAGUUUAUAAUAGAUUCUUCCAAGUAAACAAGAAGAAAUACUGCAUUAGUUAUUCAUAAAGUGAAAUUAAUGUAUCAACUUUUUUAUCAAGAAAAAUAAUUACAAAGGCUGUCUUUUGCUUGUCGAAAUAAUUUCCCAUUAUUUCAAAGGAUAAUUCAUAUUCUUUAGAAAGAAAAAAACCUUUAUCAAUAAAAAGGUAUAACUAAAAGAAAGUUUAAACUAAACUACAUUCAGGGAAUAUAUUCCAAUGCAGAAAAUUCUUACGUGGUGUAGACGACUAGUAGUCUCAUAUGUCCUUUUUCAAACAUGAUUGCAUGACCGAUACACAAGUAAACAAAGAAAAGUCUAUAUUAGAGACACUACAAUAUUCGGGAAAAUAAUAUGAUAUUAUGAUGUCAGUUGUCAAAUUACGCAGCUAUGUAGUAGACUCGCAUCGUAUUCCUCUCUCAUAUAAAUUUUCAUAUCUUGACUAGAUAGUAAAUAAAUCAUGGUAUACUAGCAUGUGAUCAUAGUUUCUCUUCCAAAUCGGGCCGUCAAAUCACCCAUUUGAUUUAAAUACUCUUGAUAACUUACUUUUAAAAUUAUAAGCAUGCAUGAUUAAGCUUAGAUAAUCUAUUUUUUCAAAGUUCUUAAAUAUUUAUAUUUAUACAAAUGACUAAUCAUGUACACUCUUCAAUUCAGUCCAGCAUAUCCUUUUCCGUGUUAUUUUUGUCUAAUCAGGAUGACAAUGAUCUUUGACCAAAGGUUGGUUACUGACAACAAACUAAUCAAAACAUGCAACCCAACCAUUGUUAAUUGAUUCAAUCAUUUAUGUUUUGUUAGAAGGAAAAAAAUGUUAUAAUUAUGUAUACUUAAGGAAAAUAUGCAAAUGCUUCAAAAGGUAAAUAAAUACAAUAGAAAUGAGAAAAAAAGCAAGCAAAUGAGUUAUCAAAAAGGUAAAAGAAGAAAAUUUGGACAAGUCAACUGGAUUUUUCUAGCACGAGUGUCUUGUACCAUAUCAAUUCUCCAUUGAAUAAUAACCACUUAUCAUUUUCUCACUUUAUCAGCACAAAGAAAAAUACAAAAAAAAAAAAAACAGACCACAACAGAGAAAAUCACACUCUUUAUAUAAGUUUAUAUUUGUUGUUCAGUCUCCUCAUCUAACACUUUAAACUAAAACUUACACACACAAAAUAAAAAAGAAUGGAAGGAGGAAUACAUGGAGGGGCAGAUAAAUCAGCUUUCAGAGAAUGUUUUUCUCUAACAUGGAAGAACCCUUAUGUUCUUCGUCUUGCUUUCUCCGCAGGAAUCGGUGGUCUUCUCUUUGGCUACGAUACCGGUAAGUUUCUUAAUCUGUUAUCUGCAGUUUCACUCAUCUAUAUACACAUGUGGCUCAAGUUUGAUGGGCUUUAUAUAUACAUGCAGGAGUUAUAUCAGGAGCUCUGCUUUAUAUCAAAGAAGAUUUCAAGACUGUUGACCGGGAAACUUGGUUACAGGUUCUUAUAUGUUUGUUUUUACAAACAAAAAAAGAUGUGUUGAAUUAUGAUUAUUUUCUAGGAACUAUUUUAACAAGAUUGAUGUGGUAAUUAAAUUGUAAUGUCAUCCCAAAACAACACAGAGACCAUAGUGUCAAAUCAAAGAAACCUUAAUAACUUUAGGUCUAAUCAUUAUGAAAUACUUUGCAAAAGCCUAGGAAAAGGUUUUCAGAAAUUUGGACAAGCAUAAAUAAAAGCAGAUCAUAAGAGUUUCAACUCUGUUUUACUCAUGCCGUUAUACACACCAUGCUGUUUUUGUAUUUACCGUUAAGAAUCACGUAACUAACUACUCAAACGUUACAAACACACACUAAGCUCCAAAUCAAUUUUAUGAAAAACAGGAAAUGAUAGUGAGCAUGGCGGUUGCUGGAGCCAUCGUUGGAGCAGCCAUCGGAGGUUGGGCCAAUGACAAAUUCGGGAGGAGAAGCGCCAUUCUCAUGGCGGAUUUCCUCUUCCUAAUAGGAGCUAUCAUUAUGGCUGUCGCUCCUAACCCGUCCCUCAUUGUCGUUGGCCGUGUUUUUGUGGGCCUUGGGGUCGGUAUGGCUUCGAUGACCGCCCCGCUCUACAUAUCAGAAGCUUCUCCAGCUAAGAUCAGAGGAGCUUUGGUCAGUACCAAUGGGUUUCUUAUCACCGGAGGACAAUUCGUGUCUUACCUCAUUAACUUAGCCUUCACCGACGUAAGUGAUAUUAAACAAUUUAUCAUUUUGGAUUAUUCUAAAGGUGUUAAUGUUCUGUUUCUCUUAUUGUUUUAGGUGAAAGGAACAUGGAGGUGGAUGCUUGGAAUCGCGGGAGUUCCAGCCCUUUUGCAGUUCAUCUUAAUGUUUACACUCCCUGAAUCACCUCGUUGGUUAUACCGCAAGGUAUAUAUGAAUGUGUUCAAUAUGAUAAUUUUAGAGAAAAAUAGUUACAUGUGUUCAAAAAAAAGGAGAAAAAUAGUUACUAUUUUGUUUUGAAACACUGAAAAACAGUUAUUAAUAUGGCAAAAUAUAAAACAAAAUCUACUAUGGAUUGGUUUGGUAUCAUUUCUCUAAAUAUUUUAACCUUUUAAAACCUACUUCCAGUUUACAUUUUUGGUUCUAUGAAAAAUAUACCCAUAACAAAUUGUAUUUUUCAUUCUAACAUAAACAGGGAAGAGAAGAAGAGGCUAAAGCAAUCAUGAGAAGAAUAUACUCAGCAGAAGAUGUAGAACACGAGAUUAGAGCACUAAAAGACUCAGUUGAAUCAGAGAUAUUCGAAGAAGGAUCUUCCGAGAAAAUCAACAUUACCAAACUAUGCAAAACCAAAACCGUUAGACGAGGACUAAUAGCUGGUGUUGGUCUCCAAGUGUUUCAGCAGUUCGUUGGUAUCAACACUGUUAUGUAUUAUAGUCCCACCAUUUUCCAGCUGGCCGGUUUUGCUUCAAACAGAACAGCUAUUCUCUUGUCUCUAGUUACCGCAGGACUUAACGCAUUUGGUUCCAUCAUUAGCAUUUACCUCAUCGAUAGAACCGGAAGGAAAAAGCUUUUGAUCAUUAGUCUUUUUGGAGUCAUUGUCUCUCUUGGAUUGCUAACUGGUGUUUUCUAUGAAGUGACUACUCAUGCUCCUGCGAUUAGCUCCCUCGAGACACAAAGGUUCAAUAACGUUACUUGUCCGGAUUACAACUCAUCUUUGAAAGCACAAACUUGGGAUUGUAUGACUUGUUUGAAAGCUUCUUCUCCUUCUUGUGGGUUUUGUUCAUCUCCCAGUGGAAAGGUAAAGUCUUCGAAGAACCCGAAAAUGUUUUCUUUAUAACCUUUUUUUUACUUUUCUUUUUUGAAAAUGUUUUUUUUUUAACUUGAAAAACAUUAGAGUUCCAUAUCUUUUUUUAUAUGAUGAAUGCAGGAACAUCCUGGGGCUUGUUGGGUCUCUAAUGAUUCGGUUAAGGACUUAUGUCAUAAUGAAAACCGGCUUUGGUACACAAGAGGAUGUCCUAGUAAUUUUGGUUGGUUUGCUCUUCUUGGAUUGGGACUUUAUAUCAUUUUCUUCUCUCCGGGGAUGGGGACUGUUCCAUGGAUAGUUAACUCAGAGAUUUAUCCAUUGAGAUUCAGAGGAAUCUGUGGAGGAAUAGCUGCAACUGCAAAUUGGAUAUCAAAUUUAAUUGUAGCUCAGUCUUUCUUGUCUUUGACUGAAGCUAUUGGGACUUCUUGGACUUUCCUCAUGUUUGGAGUGAUCUCAGUCAUUGCUCUUCUCUUUGUUGUGGUGUGUGUUCCGGAGACAAAAGGAAUGCCAAUGGAGGAGAUUGAGAAGAUGCUUGAGGGAAGAUCUCUUCAUUUCAAGUUCUGGAAGAAAAGAUCACAGCCCGUUGAGAAAGGAAACCAAACUGCAUAAGAGAACUCGAUCUUUAAAGAUUUCAUUAGUAAUAUAAAUAAGAAAUCACAUUAGACUUGUAACUUUGUAUAUGAAACUUGAUAGUGACAGUUACGUGAUCCCCUCUCUACCAUAAAAAUACUUUUAUGAGUCAAACUACUAGAGGAAGAUCCUAGAAGCUAUAUCUUUUACCAUAACAGUGAAGUGUCACCAAAAUCAUUUUGAUAAAGACCAAUUAAAUUACACAACCUCUCGUUUAACUAUUGUCAAUGGUGAAUAACUCCUAUGGUCAUAUGAUACAUUCGAGGUUAUUUAACUUAAAAUAAAUAAUUUUACAUAAAAUCUUGUCUUUUUAGCUGUUGAGGAUGAAGCUGACAACUACAAGAUUAAAUGCAGAUAACAAAAAUAUACUUGAAAGUUGAAAGGUAGGUAAUUCCAAAUGGUAUUUUGCUCUUUUUGCAUUAGAAAUUUUCUAAUAUUAAAUCAAUUCAAAUACGGGCAACUAAACUGCUACUGAGGUUGUAAAUUUGUGCGUUUCUUAACUCGGAGAAACAAACCAAUUAUGUUUAAUAUAAUAAACAUUCGAAAAUACAUUCAAGAUUCAAGAGAUACAUUGGAGUAACUAUGUAUUUUGGAAACAAAAAGGUGAAAUUCGAUGUGAAACAAAAUAUUCUGAAUGUGCAUCAAUAAAUGCCUUUAGACAGCGACACGUGCCUGGUGCCUCACAGUCUCGAGCCCGUCGUUAAGCACUGUUACCACCGAAACCCAAAUAUCACCUUCUUUUUGCAUUGGUCUUCUUAAAAACCAUUUUUAUAAUGGAAGGCACACAAAUAUUAAUGCAACUCUGGAAUAAAGACAUCUGAUUAUAGAGACGUAACAAUUCCCAUUUAGGGAAUGUAUUUGGUUAGUUAGUCCAAGUGGGGUUGUAUUCGUGUGAGAUGUUGUUUUGGUUUGUUUUUAUUCAAGUGGGUUCAAGCAUCAAAUUGUUUAAUAUGGAUUCGGUAUACUUGAACUUGGAUUGCUUAUAUAGCUACAGUUCAAAAGAAUCCAUGCUUAAGGGAGAAAACACAGUUUUAUUGAAUCAGAUUUAUCUGAAAAGAGGAAAAUGAUAAGAAUCAGAUUUUAUCGCAUGCAAGAAGUGAAGUUUAUGCCUUAUCUGAAGAUCAUGUGUCCCCUUAAUUAAUCCCAUCGACAUGGCCUUUUUCACUACUGAUUUUAAAUCAGCGUGAAACAUGAUGCAAUUGUAUGGUUGUUGAAUAGAUAACAAUCCUUUAACGAAUUUAGACUAAAUAUUUGCAUCAAUGAUUAAAAUAUCGAUGUACCUCAUGCAGUAGCGGUCCUGACAUGGAAAGACCACAAUCAAUUUUCUAAAAGUUGACCUAUUUUGUAUAUUCUUAACUAAAGUAUCAUAAAUAUAUAUCAAUAAUUUGUUUUAAAAAGGCUGGUUUUUUCAAGUUUUUUGGAUAGACCGGAAGCUGGUGCUUGGUGUGCUUUCCAUCAGGGUCGGCACUGACCUCGUGGAGCCAUAAAUUAAGGAAGGGUCCUUUCUCCCGGACAUUUAAAACUGGAAGCGCUAGUGUAGGAUAUGAACUGUUACAACUGUAUAUUUGAGCACCAUGAAUUUGUCAGUGACUUUUCAUGUAUAUUGUUCGUAGCUGAUAAUGCCAAUCCCACAUAUUGGUUAGGGCAGCGUUUUCCACACCUUCAGAUUAGUCUGAGCCUGCUUAUUAUAGCUUUUCUAUUUUGUUUGUUUUAUCCCCACGCUAAGUAAUUCGAAUUGACUUUGUAUGUUUGGACAUUCUUCGUUUUGACUUGUACAUAAACUCAAAAACAUGUGAUGGAUAUAUCAAUCUCUGAUCUAAGUGGGUAUAUACAUUUGUUUUUUUUUCUUGAAACACCGAUAUACAUUUGGUUAAAACAUGUAGCAAAUACAGUGUAAAUAGUAAUUACCCUUUAAAGAUUUUUCCUAAUAAAUUAUUUGCACUUGCCUUAUUCUUAUUCGUAUUUCAUCUACAAAAACACAAACAAAGAAUAUAUACCUAUGUGCUUAUUCCUAGCUAUUGUCUAAUCAGAUUUUAUAAUGAUCUUAGAAUAGGACAUGGACUUUGAUUAAUUAUUUGAGCAGGUUUCUCAUGAAUAUAUAAUAUGAAUGAAGUAAAGAAAUAAAGAAGAGAGAAAAUAAUCUUAUUUUGUUUGAGAUAUUUUAACACAUAUUUGAAAAUAAUCAAUAUUUUUAAAUAUUUAAUUUAUUUUAAAAAAUCUAUAUUCACCAAUGCUGAUGGAUUAACAUAAGUGGAUUAGUUGUGGACUAUUUGAUAUCCCAAUUGUAAUUAGGUAAACAAAGAAUGGCAGAUUUGUAAAACCGAAAACUAAAGAAGGGUAAAAGAGAGAAAACAGCAUAACGAAAGUCCUAAAUGGUCCGAACAGUGCACUUGUAUUCCUUGUCCGAAGGCUACUGUGGAUAUUUUUCUCAAACAGGUAAAUAAUACUUUCUCUCUCUAGCAUCUCCCUCCGAUUCCCAUUUUCGCCAUUUUUCUUUCACUUUCUUGGCUGAUUUUCCCCGAAAAAAAAAGAAAAACAUUAUAAACCCUCACCACAAACUCCCCUGAAAACGAAUACUUGAUGCUAUAUUAAAUGACCCUUUUGAUUUAAAUAUUUCAGAUCUGUGUAUCUUCUUCUUCUUAAACCACUACGCUUAUGAUGAGGAGAUCUGAGUUAUAGAAGAAUCAUACCAAAGACUGGGAGAAAAAAGCUAAUGAAAAGAAUCUGAGAAGGAAAUUUCAUUUAUAAACCAUCUUCGCAGCCAUUGUUGUCCGACAGUGAGCUUGGACAGUUGACACCUGUAAUCCAAGUGAGUUUCUCUUGUUGGUGAUUUUUGAGGCAAAACCCUUUCUCUCUUUUAUUUUCUUUUUAGGAUUAAAUCUAUGCUUUAUUUAUUGUAUCUAUAUUGUUAACUUCUGUGAUUGUUCCAUUUUUAGGGCAAGCUUUUAGCUUCUUGAACAAAAAAAAUCAUUACUCAGGUAGUCAGGUUCUUCAACUAAAAAAAAAUAUAUUUGUUAUUCUUCAACUAAAAAAACUUAUGACCAAAGCUAAUAAUCUUUGGAAGUAUCUUUUUUUUUUAUCAAACAAUAAUAAUUUAGGGUUUCUGAAAAGGCUCUUGCAGCUAUGAAGCUAUACAUAUACUAUGAAACUGAAAUGCUACGAACAUGAAUAGGUUUUGCAGAUCUACAUAUUAGUAUAAAUUAAUUAAUUAGCUGACAUUAAUCUUUUUAUAUAUAUUCAGUAUUUCAAUAGCAAUGACUUUAAUUUCUUCUUCCUCUUUCUUUUUACAGAUUCCUAUCACUGCAACAUACUCAGUCUUUUUUGGCCCUAUCGUCAUAGCUCUGCAACUGUUUCUCUUCAGAGAGAGAGAGUAGUGAAGGCUUAAUUACUAUCUUACUUGAAAAGCAUGAGAGUAGUGUUUCAAUGGAAGACGACGACGACAUUGAGACACAACAACAAACAAGCAGAAAGCUACAGAGACUCUCCUCCGACAAAACUGAAAUGAGGGACUGGAGCAAUCCAUCGUCUCGGAUCAUUAGGGUUUCACGAGCUACCGGUGGCAAAGACCGACACAGCAAAGUCUUAACAUCAAAAGGGUUAAGAGAUCGGAGGAUACGUCUCUCCGUCGCUACAGCGAUCCAGUUCUACGACCUCCAAGACCGUCUCGGGUUCGAUCAGCCGAGCAAAGCCGUUGAGUGGCUUAUCAACGCGGCUUCUGACUCAAUCUCCGAUUUGAAUCCGAUCGAUACGAACUUCGAACAGACGCUUUCGCUGUCUAAGUCGAGCACGUCUGAGAGCUCGUUGUUGUCUUUGUCGAGGACAGAGAGUCGUGGCAAAGCGAGGGAGAGAACAGCUAAAGACAAAGACUUGCAAAGCUCCUUCACUCAGCUUCUCACACGCGGUUUUGACGAAUCGAACCGGAGUUGGACCGGUGGUGGUUCUUCUGAUUGUUUCAACCCGGUUCAGCUCAUACCGAGCUCCUUGAAUCAUCGUCAAGAGCCGUCGUUGAAUCAUAGUAAUAGUCAAAACCAAUACUCUUUUUUACCGAACUACAACGUUGGAAUCUCUUCUUCUGAUUCUCCCGGGGAAGCCGGUUGUUACAGUAGUAGGGGGACCCUUCAGUCCAAUUCACUACCUCUCUUUCUCAACAACAACAUUAAUCAAAGAUCGAUAUCUUCGUCUUCUUCUUCAUCUUCUCCAAUGGACAGUCAGAGCAUUUCCUUUUUUAUGUCUCCGCCUCUACACAACCAUAGUCAUGAUCAGCUUCCAGAGGCUUUUGAUGGCCGGUUAUAUCUCUAUUACGGUGAAGGAAACCGGAGCUCCGACGAUAAAGGAAAGGAGAGAAGAUAGUACAGCAAAAAUGUUUCAUUAACUCCAUCUUGGUUAUUAGUACUUUCUAUCUAUUUUACAAUGUCAAUUUUUUUAAGAAAUGGAUUAGUUAAUGUAGUAAUAGUACCAUGUUGUUUGCUUUGGGUUCUUGAUCUUGUAAAAGAAAGAUGGUUUAUUGGGGCGUGGGUGGCAUUGAGUCUUAUCUUUAUUUGUGUGUCUUGAAGUAAAUGACAUUUCUAAGAUUACUAAUAUGAUGGCAUGUGGAUGUAGGGCUUUCAUCGUCUGUGUUUGUCUCCUCAUGUGUUCCAUGUUGGGUUCCCUUCUUACUCAGCAUUCACUUUGUUCCACUUGUUGUACUUUCUUGUUUCACCACGUAUUGUCACAAUUAAUUUAACCAAAUUGACUGAUUGUUGCUUUUUGAUGUAUCUGUUUGAUUCAAUAUCAUACUCCCUCCGUUUUUUAAUAUAAGUCGUUUUAGAGAAGUUUUUAUGUUUCGAUGUUUUCAGUUUUCUAAUAAAAUUUAUUAACAUUUAAUGUUAUAUAACCAAUGAUAAUAUACUUUUUAUUUUAUUAUUGGUUGAUUUGUAGUUAGGUAAAUAAUUAAUGAUGUUUUUGUUUAAAAAUAAAAAAAUUAAUUUACGUGCACAAUUCUAAGAAGUCUUAUAUUAAAAAACCGAAGGAGUAUAUAAUAGGAGUAUUCACCUAACCUCUCACCAAUCAUGCAAAGCGAGUUUCCAAUUGAACUCGUAUGGAGGCAGGACUGUGGGAGUUUCUUGUGAGACCGAAGAAGGCAAUUGUACAAGAGUGCAUGUACAAUUGCCUUCUUCGGUCUCACAAGAAACUCCCACAGUCCUGCCUCCCUACGAGUUCAAUUGGAAACUCGCUUUGCAUGAUUGGUGAAGAAGCAUCAUGUGUCACAAGCCAGUGAGUUGUUGCAGUUUUUUGCAGAAAGACGGUUGUGAUCUCUCUGUUUCUUCUCUUUUUUGUUCCUUCUUUCUCCAAUAUAUGUGGAUCUGUUUGCUUCCACCAUCUGGAAAAAAUGUCAUUGAUAACACUGUUAACACCUUCCUAGUGUGCAAUACUCAAUGCAAGUUUUAUUCGCCUUGGCAUCAAAUGAACAACAUUUUGGGAGAAACUGACUAAGGUCUUGUAGAUCACAUGUAACCCUCAGCACAAGAAACACGAUCACCCAAAUAAAAACAAUUCAAAGAACAUGACCAUAGCCUUUAAACAAAAAAAAAAAGAACAUGACCAUAGCCAAAACGUAAACCUCAGGCAGGUUCUUGUAUCUAAAUGAUAAUCAAAUAUAUUUGAAUUCAGAUCAUAGAGGGAAUCUAAUUUAAACACUGUAAAACAGAGCAGAAAAGCACAAUUUUUCUUGAGUGGUGCGUAAUACCUGAAACCAUCGUAAUGCGCAAAUCAAAACGAGUUCGAUUCCAGACAAAGCUUGAUCAACAUCUUCACCGCAGUCCCAAACGGCUCAUCAAACGCAUCAGACAACCAAGAAGCAUCACGCACUUCCUUGUUUCACACUCGACCUAAUAGCCACCAAUGUCGCACCUUUCGGAACAGUACUAUCUGUUAACUCCAACUCCGACGCAUACCACAGCCUCAUGUUCAAAUGAAAGAAAACAUGUAAAACUUUCAUAAACCUCAAAAACUCGAACUUCAAAUCACUUUAAUAUACCAAGCCCGUCAUCCAUAAGAAGACAUAAAAUGUCUGUGUCAUCAAUCCCCUGUAUCUACAGAGUACGAAUGAUUUGCUCGUGUACGUAGUCCCGUUCUCUGGAGACUGGACCGUGUUUCAUGGGGAGAGCGUAAGAAGGCGCAAAGUUUUGUCGCUGCCGUGUUUGUGUUCUUGCUCUCCAACACGGCUUAUUUACCAUCAUCAAAUAUAUAUGGUGACCAUUGCAUUAGAAGAUUUGGAAGAGUUUGUAUUAUCCUCUCCAAGUUUUUCCAUAAUGUACAAUAAAACAUAUAUAUAUAUAUAUGCGUUACGCGUGUACAUGCUAAUGUUUAUAUAUGCUUGAAUUUUUUAUUGAAAUGUUUCGUUUUAGUUUCUUGACAUAUUAUUGUAAUCGAUUCACCGUAGAUACGGCGGAGCAUAUGUAUCUUUUCCCAGGAAAUUCGUACGGAGAUUGACAUUUUUUUUUUUUGAAAAGGCUUUCAAGAUUGACAUCCUUUAUCUUGUUUUAUCUAUAUUUUACAAAAUCUAAAUCAAAGUGGCAAAUUUUGUAUCCCCUAUUGAUAUAAGAUAAAUUGUUUCAACUGGUAACGUACCAAUAGUUAGCUUAAAACGUAGUAUGUUUUUCUACAGAUAGUGAUAUCUUUGCUUUUUUUUCUCACCAUAAUUUAAAUUACAUGAUAUCUAUAUUAAAUUUUCGCAACGGAUCUCAAGUUAAAAUUAAAAAUGGUUAAUAUUGUUUAUACUUAAUGAAAAAAAAUAAAUUAGAUAAAAAACGAAUUAAAUAUAGAUAAGAUAAAUGAUUAAAAUUAAGAAAAAUAAAAAUUAUUCAAAAUCUAAAAGAUAUAUUAUAAAAGAAAAAGAUAAUUCUUAUAUAUUGUGUUGUUAUCCAAAAAUUACUAUUUAAUAAAAAUUAUAAUUUAAAGACAGGAAACACAUAACUAAAUAGUUAUAAAGCAAAAUUCUUAAUUUUAUAUAGUUGAAAAAUAAUAUUGAAUGAAUAUAAACAAUAAGUUAUCAUUGUAGUUUUUAAUUAAUAAUUCAUGUAUUAAUAUUUAAUUAGUAAUUCGUUUGUGCAUGCAUAACUCCUAGUAUAAUAAUAUUUAAUAAUAAAAAUUAACUACAACUUUUUAUUUUAAUUCAGUUUUUGAAAAAACUGAAAGAAAAAAAAGAAGCUUUUGAAACAUUUGAAGCCUUAUCUAAAUCCUGUUUUUUUUUAAAAAUUUCCUUCUUUAGUUUUUGCUGGGUCACAUAUUAUAUCGUCUCUUUUAUUGAGGCUUGAGAAAGAGAAUGUUUUCAUGUUUUAAAGGCUAUCUUGGGACUUUUGACACUCUUCUACGUUUUUAUUUCUUCUUCUUUGGGAAGCAAAUAGUCUUGUUCGAUCAUUUCAAUAUUUUAAGAUAAACCGCUCUAUUACUACAUAGCAACACAACUAGUGGAACUAUACUUUCAUAUAUCUGGAGAUUGAGAUGAUUACAUUUCUGAGUCACCUCCUACAUUCUUUGCUUUGAAUGUUCAUCGGGGACUAACGAUGCCUUCCUGCCAUUAUUUCGUUGUCCUACAAAUACUUGGGCUCAUCCUUUUUCUUUAUCAAAAUGAAAAGCCCAUGAUUAAAAAAUUAAUUUACAACGAUGCUAUGGUAUGUAAAAACGCAAAUGGGCCAAAACCAAGAUACCAGACAUGAUCUUUUUUUGUGUCACCUGGUGCCACUAAACAUGUUAUCAUAUUUUGGCAGCUUACUUGUCAAGAGUGAUGAAUAAUACUAUUGGUAAAAUAAAUGUGUAUGUGUUAUUAACUUAUUAUUCUUCAUCACUCAUCACAUGUCCAAGUUGACAAGAUCUUGGAAACUGUUUGGGCACUCAAAGUUCUCUAUAAACAAACAAAAAUUGACAUAUACUGCUCUUUUUAUUAGAACUGACCACGGUAGUGACCUCUGUAGCUUCAUAAACCAAAAAAACACCAAAGUGGAAACAAGAAAAAGAAGGUUGGUGGUCAUGCCUAUUGGUAAUAAAAAGAGAAAUAGAAUUGAUGUUCUCAAUAAAUCAUAUGAUUUGUUUCUUGUGUAGUUAAUCUUCACAUGUAUUCUGCCAACAAAAGACGAUUGCCAUGAUACCAUGUGUGGGUAAGUAAAUUACUUUAUUUUAUGAAAUGUAAAAAUAAAACAUGUUAUCAAAUGAUUUCUAUUAAAUUUAAACUCCAAAGAGAUAAUUUCGAAAGUAUUUUACCAACUAAAACCUUUUAACAAUGGAGAUUUUUGCGUUCAUCUUUUUCAUUAUCAAAAUGGAGAGCCGUAGGAGAGCCCAUUACGGACAAAUACAAUUUACAAUGAUGCUAAGAUAAACAUUAAACAUAGUGUAAAAAAACGUAAAAUGGCUGAAUGGAAAAGUUUUAAGUAAUUGAUUCAAGUCAUAAAAUAAAACAUGUUAUCAAAUGAUUUUUAUUAAAUUUAAACUCCAAAAAGAUAACUAAAACCUUUUAACAGUUGAGAUUUUUGCGUUCAUCUUUUUCAUUAUCAAAAUGGAGAGCCGUAGGAGAGCCCAUUACGGAUAAAUACAAUUUACAAUGAUGCUAAGAUAAACAUUAAACAUAGUGUAAAAAAAUGUAAAUGGCUAAACAACCCAAGAUAACACACAUGAUUUAAUUAGUAACUAAUCACCUUUUGAGAAUCCCUUCCUUAUACCAUUGAUGGAGUUGCUCUCAUGUUUUGGCAACUUAACUUGACUAAUAAUAGUUUAGGUAAAAAUAAAUGUGUAUGUGUUAUUAUUCGUUUGACUAAAAAAAGUGUUAUUAUUCUUAAUCACUCAUCACCUGUCCAAGACAUCAAGUUGUAAAGAUUCUGGAAACAAGUUUGGGCACUUCGAUUUCUCUAUAAACGAAUAAAUUGACAUCUACUGCUCUCUUUAUUAGAACUGACCACGGUAGCUACCACUGUGGCUUCAUAAAUCCAAAAAACACCAAAGAAGAAACAAGGAAAAGAAGGUUGGUGGUCAUGCCUUUUGGUAAUAAAAAGAGGAAUAUAAUUGAUAUUAUCAAUAAAUCAUAAGAUUUUUUUCUUGCAGUAAGUAGUCUGCCAACAAAAGACGAUUGUCAUGAUACCGUGUGAUGGGUAAAUAACUACUCAUUACUUUGUUUUAUAAAAUGUGAAAUAAAACCAGUUUUUUUUUUGUCAUUGAAAUAACUUCCAAAAGUUUGAUCUCCAAAAAGCUCAAUGCUCUGAGAGAAACAAAGAGAAAACAAGCAAAAGAUAAAAGACAUACACCAGUAGGUGCUUAAACAAAAGAAAAAACCUAACAAAAAGAAAUGAGUUUUUGAAGAUAUAAAUGGCUUCAUAUUCCAUUAGGUGAAAUAAAACCAGUUAUCAAAUGAUCUGUAUUAAAUUUGAACUUCAAAAAGAAGAAGGAAAGAAUUACCAAAGCAUUUUACAAAAUAGAAAUCCCUUUAACAAUUGUUUAGCCGUUUAUCAAGAAUGUCUCUCCUUAGUUUCAAAAAAAAAAGAAUGUUCCCUACCCAUAACUGAAAGUUGUGUAUAUUCUUGAUUGAUACUAUAAGCGAACUUUCUUAUUCAAAAUUACAAAUUACAAGCGAUCAAUAUGUGUCUUUUGUAAGGUGUUUUCUACGACCAAAUCUAACAACUACCAUUUACUAAACCACUAUCCAUAUAUAGUUGAUCAAUUGAUUGAGUUGUGUACAAAAUUUUGUUGAAGGCUCGUAAAUGUUUUUUAUUAUGUAAAAGACUUAUCGUGUAUCAUAUAGUAUCUGCAAAUAUGAUUUCUUUCAGUGUGUAUUUCAUGCGUUACAUAGUUAACCAAAAAUGGAGUAUGGUGUACCGUGGGAGCUAAAAAAAAUUACAAAUGUAACAUAAAUACUCUCAUUACAAAAAAAAAAAGGAUAAUUUUGCCAUACAAUAAUAUAUCUCGAUGCAUGCAACAAUAUAAUUAUGUGUUGCAUGCACAAACACUAUCCAUAUAUACAUUUGAUGAAGUUUUGUAAUUACAAAGAAAGUCCCUUCUUUUUUAUGAUUUUUAAUACGUUAACAAAUGUUGUGACCACUAUCCAUAUAUACAUUUUUAAUACAAUAAUAUAAUUUUUAUUUGUAGUAAAUUAAUUUCUUUCAGUUUCUAGUUCACAUUUUAAGAUAGCAUUGCUUUUAUUGCCUUCAAAAAAAUGUUACGUACGUAGAUUAAUAUUCCUCCUGCCAUUUUCUCUUCGCUUCUAUAUAUAUGCCUCCCUACAACCGUCAGAAACCACACCUAUCGAUCUCUCUUUCCCUCUCUAUCUAUCUAUCUAGCUCUCUCAAAAUGUUCAAUGCAUCUCGGAAGGCAGUUAUGGACCGGGUUAGAUCCCAGUUCCUCACAAGGUUUGAAACAAUGGUGAGGGAGAUGCUGUCGGACCAUCCUUUUUUAAAAGGCCAGUGCAUCCCUACCAUCAUUGCUGAAAGGGUUUCUACUCAAAUGAACGCCGGAGCGGUGGAGAGGCAGAUUAUCAAACAUCACUGGGUUCAAGUCUCCUUUGAGCACAAGAUCUCCACACCCAUUCCUUCAAAACCAAGAUAUGGCAUGCCUAGAGAUGAAGACGUCGUCACAACCACACGCUUCAAAGUCACUGCAGAAAGCGCAUUCAUAGUGGCCUCAUACGACGAAGUAGAUGAAGACGGUAGAAACAUGGGGAGUGAGGUUAGGCUGUUCUCAGUGCAACGUCCAGAGCUCAGCAACGAAGAAGAUGAUGAUGAUGAUGAGGGCACCUCUUGAUCUUUAUCUCCUCCAAAAGGCAAGAAAUGCGGUGGCAAAGGUAAGAAAUGGAUACUCCUCUGUUUUUCUUUUCUUUAAAAAAAAGUCGGUUAAGAUUUUAUCUUAAUGUGACGAAUCUAUCUAUGUUUGUUGUUUCUUAAUUGCAGUUCUUAUGUUUUAUGUAUCCGUUCGUCCUUUUUUCUAAAAAAAUGUAUCCGUUCUUCCAUUGCUAUCUAGCUAUAUAUAUAAUCCUUCAUUUAGAAAUGAACGACUACACUAUUAUCUCCUCUUAAAGUUCUGGUAAAUGACGAAGAUUCUCCUAUCAUAAACUAGUAUACUGUUAUGUAUCAUUUGAUGAUUCGUUUUUGUGCUGCGAGUUUAAAUUAUUUACCCCAAGACUAAAAUGACGACGCACGGUUUUGUAUCAUAAAUUAGUAGUCAGAUAUGUAUCGGUAAAUGAUUCGUUUUUGUGCUGCAAGUUUAAAACUAUUUAUCCCAAGACGAAAAGGACCCCCAAGAUUUUUGUAACCUAAACUAGUAGUCUGUUACGUAUCGUUCAAUAAUCUUUGUAUAGUUUGCUCCUAUUUGUGUUAAAGAUGUUGGAAUUUGUGUUGUUUGUACAUGCAAAGUCUCUCACAGUUCAUAUUCAGAAAUUACAAGGCUGUUUUACCCAUAAUAAACUGAAAAUACAUUGAUUAACAAAGAUAAAAGAGAUCAAAAAAAUUUCCAAGUAAUGUAUCUACACAAACUAUAAGAAGUAAUGCAUACCAUCCGAUUGUCAGUUUGUCACAGAAGGUUACAUUCAAGUAACUUUCUUCUGGUCUUUGCCACAAUUUUCCAGCCAGUCCAUUCACUAACAUCGUCAGUAUUCAUCACAGUGCUUUAGAUCUUUCAAAGUACCAAGUUGGUUAUUUUAUUUUAUUGAUAUCAAUGGAUUUAGAAAGAUACCAUACUAUCUUGCAUGGAAGAUACCAUAUCAACAAUUAUUUUUUUUCUUAGAGCAUCCACAACCCUAAAUCCUUAAAAACAAAUCCUUAACAACAAUUUUUAGAAUAUUUUAUUUUUUUUUCUUUUUUUUUCAUCCAAAUUUAAAAAAAAUAAAAAAUAAAAAGAUUGGCCAAUCGCGGGCUUCCACGCGGCGGUGGAGCCCGCGCACAGUGAAGAAGCUGUCAGAAAAGAAAUCUUUAAAUUAGGACUUUAAGAGACAAUUACAGCACAAAUUCUUAAAUAUUUGGACCCCACAUAUUAUUAUAAUAAUUUAUUGUUAAGGAUUUAUUGUUAAGGAGCUGUGGUUGUGGGUGCUCUAAGAUACAACGUAAGCAUGCUGAAUGGGCUUGCGAAUAAUAGUUUAAUGUGCUUUAAGGCCCAAUUUAAAAAAUAACAGCAGUUUCCCAAAGAGAAGUACUCUCCUCCAUUUCGUUGAUACGAAUUUCCAAUGUGAAAUGAUUUGCUAAACAUGUAUGAUGUAUCAAAAGAGAAUACAUAACUGAGAGAUAGUGGUUUAAUGGGAUCUCUUACCGAUAUAAUAAUUUCAUUUUUCAGUUCCGUACAAAUAUAAAAUGGGUGAACGUGCGUGUAUCCAAUUCAGAAGUUACAUUGACCGAUUUGAAAUAUCACAAACAAGACGAUGAAAUGAACCAUUUUCAGUUCCGUAGAAAUAUACGAUGGGAAAUGUGGGCCCAUAAUGUGUAUCUUAAGAGUUCCAUUGGCCGAUUUAAUUUACUACAAGCAAGACGAUGAACCAUUUUCAGUUCCGUAGAAAUAUACGACGGGGUUGAAGAGCGUACCCCAUAACAUGUACCAGUUAAGAAGUUCCAUUUAAAUAUCAGAACCAUUACAUCAAGUCUGAAUCAUGAAGGGCUAGAGCAAAUAUUUUAGUAAAUAAUAGGUGAAUAAUAAUAUAAUGAAAAGAAAUUACAAGGCUCUUCGCAUAAUAUUGUAGACAAAUAAAGACAUGUCAGUCACAGAGACGUUAUAUCAAUUUAUAAUUUACUUAAGGAUGAAGAAAUGAAUGUGGAUAUAACUAUUCGAACUUUGAAACCAAAUACUUGUAUAGUAAUUGUGUACUAAAAUUAAGAAUAUAGUUUAGAGAAAACUAAGAACGAUUAAUAAUAAGAUGGUAAACUGAAAUGUGAAGAUAAAGAUUAAUUCUCAUAGAACAUUUUCAUUGACUCAGAGUUUAUAAGAUAUAGAUUUGUGAAUGUGGUUGGCUCAGGAACUUAUUGUAUAUAUACUUGUUUACAGGGUUAUUUAUUAAGAGCUUCUGUGAGUGGACCAUGAUAACAAAUACAUCAACUGUAAAAAGCAAAUAAAAAUUAAAGAUAAAAGAUAUGGAAUUGGUUUGGAAAGAUUCCAAACAGAAAAGAAAAAAAUCAUAAAAACGGAAAAAGGAAAAAAAAAUAAACUUGGUAGCCAAGCUUAUAUUUCUUUUUUGUAACAUUUUUUUUAGCCAAGCCUAUAUAUUUUUUUUUUGAACUAUUAGCUAAGCCUAUAUUGCUAUCUUAAAACGAAGGAGGCGACUUCAUCUUAGUUUAGGGUUUCGUGGUGGUAUCUUUCAAUAAUGCCUCGGCUUCUCUUCAAGCUCUCUCCCCUCGUAAGCUAAGCUCUUUCCUGCUUUACUUCUCUUAGAUCAUUUAUUUUCAACCCUUAGAUCUGUUUGUUAAAAGAUGAUGUCACUUUUCUAUAGUUUUUAUUUUGUACGGAAGAAAAUGGAUUUUCUCUGUUAGGGGGAGAUUAAUAUAACAAACAAAGAUAAGUAUCGAAUGGCUGAGAUCCGAUCUAUGCUUAGAGAAGAGUAUUUGAUUUAAUGUCUUUUAAUAUUUCUGUCUGAACUUGGCAGAUCUACAAGAGCAGGAGCGUCCGUACGUUUUCAUCGUCCACGACCGGGCCGUGUACUCCGAUGUGCAUGAUUAUGUCUCCCUCUCCUAACGGAAACGUGGGAGAAGCCCUGCUGUUCGACGUGGACAGUUGUGAGUUAGUUAGAUCUCCAGAGAAAGCAUUUCCCAAAGAGCUUUAUAACGCUACAUUGGUCGGAACCUCCCGUGGGUGGGGCAUGUUCUCCAAUAGGCUAGACCGCUCAGCAGUUAUCAGCGACUUUCUGAACCCAUAUGCUUCCAAGUCAGAACCAAAGGUGGUUCCUCUGCCUCCAUUCACUACAAUGCACACUUACCAAACCGAAGUGGUGUGCAACAUGGCCAUGUCCUCUUCUCCUGAGCCAUACGACAAAGACUGGGUCGUUGGCAUCAAGUUCUUGGGUAAACAGCUAAGUUUCUGCAGACCCCAUCUUGAUCUGCGAUGGACUAACAUCCCAACACCUUUUGAGUCAUGGGAUACCUCAAAACUAAUGUAUUCCAAGAAAGACCAACGGUUCAACUUGCUUGCUCCUGGAGGCAACUACUUAUGCUCUUGGGAUCACGACAAGAAGCCUAAGUUCCAUGAGUUGGUGUUGCACAACCUUCCAAGCAUGCCACGCGAACAACAGCAACGGUUGGAUUCUAACUGCAGGGAGGAUCACUGGGUGGAGUCACCUUCCGGCGAAUCUUUCCUUGUCAAAUGGUACGUACCUAUAACAAUAUAUUAGGAACUUGCUAAUGUAACAUCUCAAAAACCUAUUGUAAUAACGUGCAGGUUCUCAGAAUACACUCCUGAAGGGUGCAAAGUACCGAUGGUAAUGGUGUUUAGAGAGGAGGAUACAAAAGAUGGGAGGAAAAACAUGCACUACACUGACGACAUUGGAGAUAUGUGCAUUUUCAUCUCGAAAAGUGAGGACUUCUGCGUUAAGGCGAGCUCUUGCCGUGGCCUCAAUCCUAACUCCAUCUUUUUAAAUGGACGUUUGUUUGUGUCGCUCAAUAUGAGUAAGUUUAGCUGCCGUCUCUAUGAAUAUCCAGAAGAUACACCAUAUACCAUUCCUUACUCUCCCUACUGGCUUCCUCCGUUUUCUAGCUAUUAGGUGUGGUUGGUUGGUUGUGUCAUGUUGGCCGGUUUGGAUUAGAUCAUCGAAUAUAUCAUGUUUACAAGAAUAUUACGUUGAUCAAAACCCAUAAUUACUUUGGUUGCAUUUGUUUACCAUCGAGUGAUAUUCAAUUAAUGGAGAACGUCUUUAAUUACACAUGGUGGGCAGAAGCGUAUGUAUAUUAAUAUUCUUAUCUAUUAUUUUGCAAAUUUAACAUUACAUAUUUUACAAAAAAAAAUCAAUUAAUACACACGUUUAGAGAAAUAUCCUCUAACUAAUAUUUUUCGUCUAAAAAAAGAAAAAAAAUCGACGUCCACAACUAAUUGAAAGGAUCUGUCCACACACAUUAUAAAAAUGCAGCGAGGCUGGUUUCGAUUUCCUCAACUUAAGUUUAUACAAAAGAACAAAGUUUAGAAUUGAAAGUGGUUGGUUCAGAAAUGUGAAGUUAUUGCAUCAUUUGUAACCGUUGUGAGUGGACCAUGGUAAUAAAUAAAACGGAGGGGAAAUAAAAUAAAUAAAAAGUGGUAAGAUUCCAAAAACAAAAAUUUCACCAAAAAGGAAAGAAAGAAAGAAAGAAAGAAGAACUUGGCAGUCACGCUUAUUGCUUUCUUUAAAGGGUAGAUAAUAUCUUAAGUUUUUGGGUUUCUUUGGGUUGGUAUCGUUCAAUAAUGUCUCGACUUCUCUCCAAGCUCUCUCCCAUUGUAAGCUCUUUCUUUGCUUUUGUUAUGUCUUGGAUGGUUUACUUUGUAGAAGAUAGUUGAAUUUGUGUUGCUUGCUUAAUUACUACUUGGCAGAUGCACAGGAGGAGCAUGAGCGUUCGUUCGUUUUCAUCCUCCAUGACAGGUCCGUAUAUGUUGCGUAGUCUCAAAGUAAAUCCCUCGCCAGGAGGCGUCAACAUAGGGAAAGUGCUUGUGUUCGACCCAGCCAAAGAAGAGUUACUAGAACUCACAGACAAAGCAAUACCUGAAGAAAUAAUCAUGACCAAAGCAACCGGAGCUUCCAAGGGAUGGGGAUUUUUCAGUGACCCGCAAGAUAGCUGCAUACUCAUCACCGACGUCAUGAACCCAUGGUCUUGCAAAUCAAACCCCAAGAUCUUUACUCUGCCUCCACUUACUCCCCUGCCCUCUUGCCAAACUGAUGUCAUCUGGAGUGUGGCAAUGUCUUCUUGUCCUGAUGAUGACCAAGACUGGGUGGUUGGCAUCAAGUCCUUGGGUGACCAGCUGAGUUUCUGUAGGCCUCGUCGCGACUUGCGUUGGACUAAGAUCACAACCCCUCCUGACUACUUUCCAACCUCAAACCUCAUGUAUUCCAAGAAAGAUCGCAAGUUCUACUUGACCGGUCCUGGAGGCCAUCACUUGUUAUCCUAUGAUCUCCAUUUCAAGAAAUCCGACAAGCCUGAGUUCCAUGAGUUGGAGUUUCGCAACUUUCCAGAGUCGUUCAAGUAUGACUCGGAGCAAUCAGAGCUCUUUCCUUCUUCUUGCAGGACAGAACGCCUUGUGGAGUCAGCUUCCGGAGAUGAACGUUUCCUCGUCAAAUGGUAUUAAUAUUAUUAUUAUUAUAAAACACUCUAGCUAGUCUCUACAGUUAGCAGUAACCAUUGACGUUUGGUUCUUGCAUAUAGGUACGCAAAAGGAUGUUUGGAUUCGAGAAAAAUAUCGUAUGAAACGCAGCGGAUCAUGGUGUUUAGAGAGGAGGAGACAACAGAUGGAAGAUUCAUGUGUUACACUGAUGACAUUGGAGAUAUGUGCAUCUUUGUUUCAAAGGGAGAGGCUUUUUGUAUCCCCGCAAGCUCUUUCCCUGGACUCAAACCAAACUCCAUUUAUUUUAUAGGCUUUGGUGUAGGUGUUUACGAUCUAACCACCAGAACCUCCUCAAGUUUUCAGGCUCCCACAGGUGCACUGAAUUAUCCUUGGGCCCCUUACUGGUUUCCUCCAUCUUCUAGCUAGUGCUGCUACGACUAAGGGUUGCUUCUGUUUCUAUUCCAUGUCUACUUGCUAAGAUCUAAAUCCAUUUGGACGAAAUAUAAAAAUUCAUUAUCAAUGGAUACAGUUCUUCUUUAGGUAUAAUUCUUAAAUACAUAACUUGUUUUUUACACACUACGGCUAAAACAUUUCUCACCAAAAUUAAUUAACAUUCUCUAACCUCACUAUAUCACAAAGAGAAAAAAAAUUACAUAUUUUUUGACUAAUGGUUUUCAUAAAAAUUACGUCUAAUUUGACAAACCAUGGAUGUCAAAUGUUUUAACCAUCCCCAGCAACAAACAAGACAUGUCUAAAUUAUUAUUAUUUUUUUAAAGCAUGUGAAAUAAAAAUUGAGAAACAAAAUAAAAACACUAUCGUCGUGAAUGCUGAUGGUAAGGUGAAGCUGCUUGAAUUCGAAUCCUCCGUUUCUGAAGAAAACUUUGAAGAGAUCUUUUCAUAGAAGCCUUUGGAUUUGGAAGCUGAUGAUGAUGUAAUCUUGUCAACCUGUUCCGAGGAUCCGACCCGUUUGAGGAUGACCUCUCUUCCAUCUCUCUACUCGCGAUCGAUAUUAUAGAUUUAGCCUGCAUUCAUUCAUAAAAAACAUUAAUGGUUAAUAAGAUCCAUUAAUUGCUUAUAAAAUAUAAUCAUAUAAAUGACUGUGUAUAUAAUUAUAUAUGUACAUACCUGAAGAUGGGUAACAUUCGAAGAAACACACAUUUUUCCAUUGUAGAAAAUUGUUAUCCUCUGAGAUUCUUCCUCUUUUGGUAGUGAGUUUCCAGAGCUUCUUGAUUCUACCACACUUCAAAUCAGUUAAAUGUAAACUUUAUUAGAUUCAUGUAUGUAGUUAAAUUUCAUAGAUUUGAGUCCAGAGAGAGAGAGAGAGACUUACGAGGUAUCUGAUUCAUCAUAAGAAGAUGUUGGAAAGAGACGAAGUUCCAAGUCGCAGUUUUUCUCCAUCUUCUGAGUUGUAAGGACAAUAACUGAUGAUGCUGAUGAUGGUGGUGGUGGUGAUAUUGUGUCUGGAUUGACGAAUAUAAGUUUAUUUAUAUGUUUGGUUUGUGAGGAGGGAGAGAGGGCGCGAGAGAGUUAGUGGAGAUAGAACACGGUAUCCUAAGACAGAGACAGACAGAUCACAGCUUCUUUUUAAUUAUCUCACAUGGAAAAUGUUUUUUCUAUUUUUUUAUUUGUGUAGUAUAGGUUUUGGAUUCUUUAUUAAUUGAACUAGAAUAAAAAGACAAAAGUCACGAAACUUUAUUUUUAUUCUAUUUUUUCCGUUGCAUUUUAAUACGUAUACUACUAAAUCUCUACUGGCGGUUUCGACGCAUUUUGUACAUUUCCGAAAAUAGUACUCUCAUAUUUCAUUCGUUUUGAUUGGAAUAAUUAUUUGUUAAAAUUUUCUGUAUCUUUGGUAUUUUUUAUUAUACUCCUAUAUUAGUUCACCGGUAUACUAAAGUGUUUGAUGCCUACCUGCUUUUUAGUUGUCAAAGUAUCGACUGCUGAAUAGUAUCGACUGCUGAAUAGUUUACCGAUUAAUAUUCACAGGCGGCGUAUCUUCUUAAGUCAAUUCUAUAAUCACUGCACACGCAAAUAUUAUCAAUCUUGGCGGUGUUUGACAAAACUUAUCUGUUGUAUUAAGUGUUACGAAAUUUUAUUAAAUGAUUAGAUUAAGGUAGAAUCAGGAUAACUAAUUAAUAUUUGAUCGAAGCACGUGUUUGCGUCUCCAAUAAGUUGCUCCUUUUGAUAUUUCUUACUUUUAUUAACUCUUCUACAAGAUUCAUAUGUAUCUAUUUUCUUUGCGGCUAUGAAACAAGUGGUAAGGAUUCAUGGAGAAAAAACGUGGUAGGGACAACAUUUUUGAUUAGUGAUUGAAUUUAGUUGUCAAGCCAUCCACUAUAAUGUUAUUUUAGUUAAGAUAAAAACAUAUUUGAAAUGAAAUCGGUUUAAGUAAUUCUCAUUUACAUUCCGCUUUUGGUUGUUAUAAUGUUUAAAUUGAGAUAUGUUGAUCAAUCUUGGUUUAUGCAAAACGCAUCCGUCUAAAAUAAUUCUUUUAAGACCUUUCGGUAAAUGUAGUGGAAACCAUGGGCUAAUCCAAGUCUUAAUUGAGUUCCCAUUGCCUACAUAAUUAGUUACUUUAAUCAUUGAGUCAAUGGCAUUUUUGUUUGUCAUAAAGAAAGAAAUUUAACAAAAAAUUUAUUUGUUAUUUUGUUUAUUUAAUUUAGAUAAGAAACUAACAUAGAAGUAAAACACGUGAGUCAUGAGAAAUACUAGUAACACACGACCUUAAGAUUGUUGGCUUCCCAUGCACCAUUCAAUUGAUUCAUUAUCUCAUAAACAUCGUUUUCGUUUCAGAAAUUAAUUUUGAUUAAGCCUUUACAAAAAAAAUUUGAUUACGUGCCUAGAUGUGGUCGACUUGAUGUGGUCGACUUAUUAACGAUUUAUCCCAUUAAAAUAAAAUAAAAAGUAGUUGACGAAUCCCUUUUUCGUUUGUUUCUAUGUCGACGACUCCUUAGAUGUGCCCGUAUACCGGCAAUAUAGAAAACAAAAGCACGUUGAAAAUAAAUACAAGUCGUUCGAUAUUUCAAAAACAAAUAAGUCAAUUUUGGGACCGAGUUUAACAUGUGGUGUUGUGUUGCACAAAUCAACGAACAAUGAAAUAAUCAAAAGCUAUCUAACAAUCUACCACUGAUAUGAAGCUUGCAGUUUUGACACCCAACGAAUGAACACACUGGUUAUUGUAUUUAAUAUUCAUUUGCUAUGAUUCUUUUUUUCUCGAUAAAAUAUUUAGAAGAAUAAAAAUGAUCUAAAAUUGUGAAAGGAUUAACAACUACUAAGGGUAAACAAGUAAAAGAUAAUAUCCCUCUAAACAUAUAAAAAUAAAUUUUACUAUAAACAUGAAAAUAUUAACCUGAAAUAUUUCACCAUAAACCUUCUUUUGUUCGGGCUGAUAUUGUUUUUAAAAAGAUAUUAAUCCGAACAAAACAAACAUGAGAAGUGAAAUACAUUUUUUGGUAAAAUGAAAAGUGAAAUACUUGUGAAAAAGUAUCAAAGCAAAAUAAUUGAUUAAAAGGCAGAUCCUGAGAAUUGGGAUCCUACAAAGCUACAUUUUCCAAUCAAUAUUCUGGAUUUGAGUUCAAAUACAAAAAAAAAAAUAUUGUAAUUAUUAAAGACUAGAGAGAAAAGUCGAUAAAUAAGAAAAUGAAUUGAUUAGACCAAAAAAGAAGAAGAAUUGAUUAGAGGCUCUGAGCCACAAAGUUGGAAAAGACUAGAAGCAUGUGUCGUCUUUUUUGGGUGAAAAGCAUCUGUUAUUUGUUCUAAUACAGUAUUUUCACAACUUCUGUUGUUAAUAAAUCCGAAGUUAAAAAAAAAGAAGUCCGAAGUUAGUUAAAAUUUCAUUUUAGAAUAAAGAUAUUUUAGAGGACAAAAAAUUACAUGAAUUACCAUCACAAAUUGACAAUGUAACACAGUUGUCUUAGAGCAAACGGUAGAGUACUUGAAAAUGCAGGAAUGUUCUCUAACUUGCAAGAAGUCAAGUUACAUCGUAGGCUUAUCAUCAAACAACGUUCAUCUUUUCUUAUUAAGCCAAAAUCCAAACAAGUCAACCACUCCUACCUCUCGAUGAUGGAUUGUAAAUUCUUAACUCGUGACAAUCUGCUAUCUCAAGUGUGUGCAUAUUCAUGACCAAGGCCAAUUAGCAUCUCGCCACGCAAAGCGACAUCCUCCAAAACCACCACUACAGCCAUCAAAGCUAAUUGGUUCACCAGAGUUUGAUCCAUCUAAACCAACACAUCGAAGUUUUUGAUCACGUUUCGCUGAGUCCUCUCUGUAUGAUGGGUUUGAGUAUCUAGGGUGUUGGAUGAAAGGUACAUUCUUCCACCAGAGCUUAAGUGCCUAUAAAAUGAAUAGCAGUUAUGUAAUCUAGCCUACAAGUUGAUGAUCCAUAUGUACUUACAAAGAUAUUGAGUAUAUAUGAUGUAACUUACAUGCCAAUAGAUCCAUAUAGCAACCUUAUGAGGCAUCAACCAGAAGAAGACCGCGGGAUCUGAAACCCGUGUUUGGUCUAUUCUUUUCGCCUUCAAUGUCGCAGAGAAGUAGUUACCGUGAUGAGGAUGCUGUGAUUCAAUUGAUACAGAUAACUCAUCUCCAGGUUCAUUUGCUCUAAUCUUCCAAUUCCCAAGCAUAUCCUGAAAAUACAGUUAAAAACACUUAAUGAAUUCCACAAGUUGAACAAGAUCAAUCAAUAGAUGAUUGUAACAUCAUGAGAGUAGUAACAUACCAUGAAAGGACUGACUUGUAAUGAUUUAGCAACCAAGUCAGAUUCAGGGUCGAAAACAAAUGUCACUCGUUCCCCCCAUGGCGUAUUUGUAACCUACCAAAAAAAAAACCCUCUAAUCAUCAUCAAUAGAAACCACUAACGAAGAAACAGAGUAGAGAAAAACAUAUAUUUAUAUAAAUAAGUACCUGUCCAAUGCAUUUAAUUAAGCGUUUACUUGAUCCUUCCAAGUUGUAGCAAUAAUACAAACUCAAUGGGUUCUGUUCAUAUCCAACGCUUGGAGGUAUUGUCAAUAAAAAACUGCAACCAAAAAUAACAGAGAUCAUCACAUAGCCAUUAAACUUUCUGAAACUAAAAAGAUUCGAUCUACGCUGUUUCAGAUCAUAUACACAUCCUUUACACAAACAGAAUCUUAACUCACUUCUUAUGAAACAUAACCUCUUUUAGUAACACUGACAGUUUCAGUUAAUCAUAUAUUGUCUCUUCAUUCAGUUUUGUAAGAAAACAUAUAAACGUUACGUAUUACGAAGUUUCAUUUGAGAAUCUCUAAUCUCGACGACGGUGAGAAGAGAAAGCUUACAUCGGCCCGGUGGUACGAGCGAGAAGGCGAGCUUCGUCGGCGGAGAGAUGAUCCGGCGGAGUUUCAAGGGAUUUAUCGAGGUCGAAGAGCGCGUAACGGACGGUGUAACGGAAGGAGUGCCGGACGGGACGGAGACGGUCGUGCCAGACGGUGCCUUCGUAGUAAGAGACGCUGGAAUCGACGGCGGAGCGUGAAGGUAGGAGACGGUGGAUAAGGAGGCGGAAGGGGAGGAGGAGGGAGAGGAAGAGCGU
RNAcentral lists this long non-coding RNA (65242 nucleotides) under Brassica rapa (field mustard). RNAcentral's name for it is "long non-coding RNA (BRAP_LNC006078)". The record is from RNAcentral. Lineage: Eukaryota; Viridiplantae; Streptophyta; Magnoliopsida; Brassicales; Brassicaceae.